RNAcentral lists this long non-coding RNA (50895 nucleotides) under Oryza sativa (Asian cultivated rice). RNAcentral's name for it is "long non-coding RNA (OSAT_LNC000933)". Lineage: Eukaryota; Viridiplantae; Streptophyta; Magnoliopsida; Poales; Poaceae. The record is from RNAcentral.
UCGUACUAUCUUUCUCAUUUGUGAGUGAAUAAAAACCACUAGUACGUUUUUGAACCAGUUAUAAACUUUUGAAAUAUGGUGCAAAAAGGAGUAACAGAAAAACAGUGAUCAAACUUGCUUUCAAAAACAUUAUAUCGCUGUUUGAGAAACAGCUGCACUGGAUGUGUAGAUGUCAUAGUAGUAGUACAAGAUUUAUGACGCUUUUGAAGUGGGGGAAGAACGCAACUGCGCUCGUCAAUGGAUCAUCACGUACCGAUCCUACGGAACAAUACAAACUGUAACCAAUUAACUAGUCCGUAUCUGCAAACACACAGCGAAUCAGCUUAACGAAAAAUCCUGCAUCGAUGAUCAAUCGAUCGAAUUGACAAGAGCAAUCAUGAUGCACAACACGCAAAUCAAGCGCCGCAUCUUCCCCCAAACGCGUCCCCCCCGCACAUCAAAGGGCUCCGAAUCCCUGACGAUCGAGAGCCGCACGGAUGGCCAGGAUCGAUGGAGCGAAGCGGCGGCGGACGCUCAUGAGCAAAAUAACCAAAUGCAGCCGGAAUCGGAGCGCGCGUACGUACCAGGAGCGGCUAGGACGAGGAGGGAAGGCACAAACAAUCAAGCGAAGUCCGCAGUCGGGCGGGCGGUGGAUCGACGCGGCGGCGCGCAGCGACAAUACCCAGCCUCCACCGCGAGCGACGCGCCGGCGGGCGGGGAAACCCUAGGCGUCGGCGGCCGGAGGGGACGGCGGCGAGCGGGUCGUCGUGGCUCUCUCUCUCUCUCUCCUCUCCGCCGGUGACGCCGGCAUUUAUAGGCGAGCAAAUCGACGAGAGGAGGCGAGCUCAAGAGGGAGGAGGAGAAGAAGGGAGUCGGUGUGAGACUCUUCAGCGUGUGACUGACAUGUGGGUCCGGCAGAAGGGGGGUUGGAGUGGGGCCCACUUGGCAGCCUGCGUUGCCGUGCGGACACGUAGCGAGGUGAUGGGGGGAGGCGAGGGUGGCGCCGCGCCUCACGUCUCGCUUUCUCGGGCGAUUCGAAAAUUGAAACCGGGGAGAAUCGUGGCCGUCCGUUUGAUCGAUCGGUCAGGAUUCGUCCAGGCCCAAUGGGCUACGGCUAGCUUUCUCUCUGGGCCUCCUCCCCUCGCACCUCCUCGAAGCCUCGACUGCUCCACGGCCGCCGCCGCCGCCGCCGCCGAUCUCUGCUCCGGUGAGCGAUGCCGAGGCUUCUCCUUCGCCGUCUCUGCGUACGCCACCGCCGCCGCCCAAAACCCCAAGCCCUCGCCGCCGCCGUCUCCAACGGGACCACCUCCGGUACGCGCCCUCCUCCAUGCCGCCGCCGGUGGUUUUGGUUUCACCUCUCUUUCCUAAUCCCUUCGCUUCUCCGUCUCUCUAUGCGCAGCCAUUGCGGAGGAGCUCACCGACGACCUCCUCGUCGAGAUCCUCUCGCGCGUGCCCUACAAGUCGCUCUGCCGCCUCAAGUGCGUCUCCAUGCGGUGGCGCCGCGUCAUCUCCCACCCCGACCACCGCCGCCAGCUCCCGCGGCAUCACCUCCAGCCCCUCGCCGGCUUCCUCUACGCCGACUACCGCGUACUAAACCGUUUCCAGAUCGUCCCGGCGCUGGAUCCCCCUCCCCUCAUCGAUCCCUCGUUUUCCUUCCUGCCCAAGUGUGAUGAUCUCCAGCUGGUGGACAGCUGCAAUGGCCUCCUCCUCUGCCGCUGCUGGAAUCAGCUCAACGAACACAGGACAUUCAACUACGUGGUGUGCAGUCCUACCGCGAAGAAAUUUGUCGUCUUCCCGGACUCCACCUGCUCCAAGAAGGUCCGGCCGUUUUUGGGGUUUGAUCCGGCUGUCUCGUCUCACUUCCAUGUGUUCGAGGUUGUGGAGGAUUGGGAUUAUUAUGAUUGUGAUGACGAUGAUCUGGAAUGUGAUGGCGUCGAAGAUGUUGUCGGAUUGAGGAUCUACUCGUCCGAAACUGGAGUGUGGAGUGAUGAGAUUGAUAAUGGAUGGAGCAACAGAAUCAGGAUUCGGCGUGAUCAAAAGGGUGGUUCCAAGAGUGUUUUCUUCAAUGGAAUGCUGCAUUUGGUCGCCAUACAGCCUGUGGUGGCUGUGGUGGAUGUGGAGGGGAAGAAUUGGAGAACCAUCCCUCUGGCACACAAGGAUGGUUCUCCUUUGUGUGGUGCUCAUCCUCCUUGUGCUUCUGGUCCAGAGGGAUUCAUUGCUCUGUCCCGGGACCUGCUGCACUUUGCAAGUACUGACAGCUAUGGUGACUGGGAAAUAUCAGUGUGGGUUCUUGAUGAUUACUACGGCGGACAAUGGACCUUGCAACACACGGUCAGCACUAUGCGUCCAUUUGAGCGGACGAUGAGGAGGAGGAUGAACCCUGAUGACUGCACUCUUGUCUGGAUCGAAGGACGUAAGAUGUUUUUCAUGUUUUAUGACUAUGUUCAUUGUAUACUCACGUCAUAUGAAAUGGACAGUGGGGAAGUACGAUGUCUAAGUCGUCCUCGGAGUUAUUGCGAGCCACCAUAUCUUCCAUAUAUUCCCUUGUUCUUGGAAUCAUUAGCAGAUGGGCCCUAAUAAUCUACCGUACUGGAUGGCAGCUCUACCUGUGUCAAUCUUUUCCGAUGAUAUGGGAACUAGAUCACCAAUUGCUACGAGGAUUGAGCCACUUGGACUGCCACAGCAUUGUCUUAUCCAUCAAUAGCAUGAUAUAUAUGCUUUUCUUUGUUUCUGAGAUUGACACAUUUCUAAUGCUUUGUGAAACAGUACUAUGUUCUUAAGUUGGAUGGAGUAUCAAUAUCAAAGUUCGGUGUGGUAAAAAAGGUUCUUGCUUCAUGUUACUUUUGGUUGUGCUUGAUUUCACUCCUGUAACCUGACUUUAUGGUGCUAGUUAUAUGUGUGUACUCAGUGACUGCCAUUUUCGGUCUAACUUUAUGCCAGUAUAGCUGUAUGUGUUUAUUUCUAGUCACUGUAAGUUUUGUCGUCAGACCUGAUACCUGUUUGCACAUCACAAUGGAUGUCUAUAUUGUUCCUUCCCUUACCUUAUUUCUGGUUUUCGAGUUUAUUUGAAUUUCAACAAUGCUAGAAAUCUGAUUACUUCUGUUUGAUCUUUGUGAGAUGGGAAUUUAUGCAUCUUUUAUCGGUACUGUCAACAAGGAAAUGAUCUGUUAUAGUGAAGAGUGGCCACAUUUUAUUUUAGUUGGGAGUUUAUGCAUCCAAUCCGAAGCCACUCCUUCAGCAUUUUCAGAAUCCAGAGAAGUCGUUAGCAAACUUUGAAGCUGAGGUUGGGUGGCAUCAAAUUCAGCCGUAAAAAUUUUUGGCAUUGGGAUAGAAACCAAUUGCGGCUUCUGCGCCACUCGCGCUGAUUCGGGACAGAAGUUUCAGACACUGAAAGAUCUGAAUGACUGCACUAAACUCCACCCACCAUUAGCUAAUUUUAUUCUGGUGAGGUAAAUACAUUCGUUUACACCUGAAUAAAGAUCGAAGCUUAUCUCUGCUGAUUGAACUUUGCAUUCUGGAUCGAUCACCCAUGGAAACUUGAGAAUUGCACACCAGCGCGGAAUAAAUCCCCUCCAAUCCCUCCCUCACAGGGAUUAACCGAACAAGCCCUGAGGCCUUGUUCGUUUAAUCCCCAAGAGAGAGGGAAUGGAGGGGAUUGAGGGGGAAUAAUUACACACCAGGUGUGGAACAAAUCCGCUCCAAAUCUCUCCCAAUCCCCUCGUGGAAGGGAUUAACCGUAUAUCCAACCUAUAAGGAAGGGAGCCAAGGUCGACUUUUUCCAAGGCAAAGUAUGCAGAAACGAGACAACUUCGUUCCAGACUUCCAGGCCCAUAAAACAAAACCGGACCAAGGCCCAAAUUCUACCGCAUCGUGGCCCUCUUCGAGCAGCUCGUCGCUCCUUCUUCCUUCCCGCAACCCAGAAACCCUCGCCUCGCCUCGCCGCCGUCGACUCGACUCGAACCGGAGCGCCGGAUCCAGCCCGCCGCCGUCCCUAGCUCCGCCGCCGCCGCCGCACUGUGGAUUGGUUGAGGCGGAUUCCAGGGAUGGGCGCAGGGGGUGGAUCCCGGCGCCGGCGGAGAAGCUCACCGACGACCUCCUCGUAGAGAUCCUCUCGCGCGUGCCCUACAAGUCGCUCUGCCGAUCCAAGUGCGUCUCCACGCGGUGGCGCCGCGUCAUCUCCCACCCCGACCAACGGCGCCGACUGCCGCGGUAUCACCUCGGCAACGACAUUGUCGGCUACUUCUACAAGUCCAACACCUUCACCAACGUCACAGGGGAAGGCCGCCCUUUUGUUGACCCCUCGCUCCCCUUCCUGCCCAAGUGCGAGUUUCUCAACGUCGUCGAUAGCUGCAAUGGCCUCCUCCUGUGUCGCUGCUGGAGGCUCGCAGAUCCACGGAGAUUUGAUUACCUAGUGGUUAAUCCUGCCACUGAACAUUGGGUCAUCCUGCCUGAUUCCGGCUGGUCUGACAAGGUGCAGACUGCUCGCUUGGGGUUCGAUCCAACGGUCUCCUCCUCGCACUUUCAUGUGUUUGAGUUUGUGGAGGACGGCGCUGCGGAUGUCGAUGGGAAUGUUGAUCGUGACGACUAUGAUGGGCAUGUCAAAGGGGUGGAAAUCUACUCAUCUGUAACUGGAGAAUGGAGUCACAAGGACAAUGGUUGGAACUGGGAAAUCAGGUUACGCGAUGAAUCGAAUAGUGUGUUUUUUGAUGGCGUGCUGCAUUUGAUCACUAUUGAGGAUGUGGUGGCAGCGGUCGAUGUGGAGGGGAAUACUUGGAGGAUCAUUCCUAUGCCUCAAAGUCUAGUUGAGCCUUUCAAUGGUAUUGGUGAGGGAUUCAUUGUCCUGUCUCAGGGUUCUCUGUAUUUUGUAAACAGCGAUCACGAUAAACCAUAUAAAGUAUCAGUAUGGGUUCUUGAGGACUACAGCAGUGAACAGUGGAUCUGGAAGCACACUGUCAGCCAUUUACAUCUAUUUCAAACCAAGAGACUCCUUUUUGGACAUGACUACAAAGUUGUCUCAAUUCAUCCGGAACGGAAUAACAUUUUCUUGGUUUGGCCGCAUAGCAAAAUGCUCAUGUCCUAUGAAUUGGAUAGCAGAGAAGUGCAUUUUAUAUGUGGCAUCGGAGGUUGUGAGUGGGUGAUGUACUAUCUUCCUUACGUUCCCUUGUACUUAGAAUCACUGGCAGAUGGGCAUUGAUCAUCGUACUUGCAUAGGCGAACGCUUGGUUUGUUAACCUUAAAUUAUGACAUUGGAGUUAGGACACCGAUAAGAUCAGCAGGAACUUGGCAGAUCUUUCUGAUGUUGUGCUACAUUGUUGUAGGUGGUUGAGUGCGUUCUGCAACCUCACUUUCUGGGGCCAACUUUUCAGUAACUUGGAACUUAAUUCGGAUUUUGUAAUAGUGAUGUUGUAUUUGAUUGUUUGCGAUGUUGAAAACCCUCUAGCACUUAUUUAUGCCAAUAUUUGUUGAGAUUUCAUAUUACGUUAUUUACUAUUUUUUUUCCAUUGGAUCCCCUCCCCUGGUUAUGCAUAGUACAACUAUUUUGUUCUGCUUUGCAUGGGAAUUUAUAUUAGUUCUGCUUUGCAUGGGAGUUUAUAUUAAUUCGUCAUUGCUGAAAUAAUAUGUACUAGUUGAGGAAGGGUACUCUUUUUAUCAGAUUGUCUAGAAUAUGUAGUAUCAAAAGUUUGAAAAACUAUGUUGGUUCCAAUAUUUGAUGUAUUGAAUACUGACUCACAUGAAAGAUAUUACCACAAUCGUAGAACAUGUUGGGAGCAUACUUGUCUAUAACUAAUUAUUCUUUUUCGUCACACACAAGUUGGCAUUACUGUAUUUCCCAUAUGCAUAUUUUAGCUUCAAUGUAAUGUUUCAUGUGAUAGCUGCUGAAAUCAUGUCAGUGGCGAUGGUGGCGGUCUGAGUUGAUAUUUUAUUUUUCUCGGUGGAUCUGAAUUUUUUGGCGUUGACCAGAAGCUGAUUAUGUGGUUUCAUUGGUCGAAAUCGGUAAGCUCUACGGACUCUUAAACUACUAUAAGUUAUUUAGAUAAUCAUGAAAAUAUACAUGUCUGGUACAAUAUAUGUAAACAAAAUCAGGUAGUCAAUUUGCUAUUAUUUUUUUUAAGGUGAUACACUGAAGCACGUCACUUACACAUUGAGGCAUACUGCUCUCACAUUCAUUCUCUUGGUACGUUAAUAGCUCUACUAAGAAAUGCUCGUAUUUAUCCUGUACAUGCAUUUAUUUAUGUAAGCAAUCAAGGUUACCAUUGUAUGUGUUAACUGAAACAUUUGGUAGGAUUAUAUCGUAUGCCAUAGGUUGAUGCUCGUUCCAUGAUUCCAUCUUGACCCACAACAUGCUUUUGCCAUUGCUUUCGGCAAGUGUUUGGCAAUCCAUAUAAGUUUUUUUGACAUACUGUUUGCUUCAAAGUACGCGGUUAACAUUGACUUCUUAGCACCAUCCCGGUCAAGUACUCCUUGAAUGCCUGCUGUGCUCUAUAAAAAAAAGCACUCCCUGAAUGUCUUGUUUGCCUCGAUAUGCAACAUGUAUUUUGAUGCAGCUCGAACUUAUGUUUGUUGAUAAUUGUCGUUGAUGGAGCUGCUCCUGGCAAGGUGGCCUUUUAAGCGACGGAGUAUAACUGUGAAUUUUUUUUUAUCAAACCACAAGAACUGAUUUGGUUUCUGUACCAGUUUUGUACAUAAAACGUUUUUGGCGGCAGAAUAGAACUGUUUAAUCACACCACAAGAACGGAUUUUGUUUGUGGUACCAAUUUUGUAUAUAAAACAUAUUUUGGUUGUAUAUAUAUAGGAUAUAAUGUAUGCAACAUUCUUGUGGUGUUCGGAUUGGAUGUAAUAUGGGGUGUUCUUGUGGUGUUGUGAUUAGGAUUUGAGCUGAGUGGGCCUGAUCUGAGCGUAGUAGGCCAUAACUGAUCUAGAAAGGGAAUUGGAAAUUGUGGAGCGAUUUGCGCGAUCUGGGAGGAAUCGGACCAAAGAAAUCGCGCGCACUACACGGGGAGGGAAUCGGACUUUUUUUGCCACUUUUUUCCGCCCUUUUUACCAUAUGGGCUUCUUUUUUCCGCUCUUUUUUUUAUUUUAGACAGAUGACAGAAACCUUAUGAAUUUUUUAAGUAGUAGAGAUUUAAUAUUAAAAAUAAACCAUUCAAAAAUUUAUUUUCAAUGUCUAAAAUUUUUGGUCACACCAGUCGAACUGGCGUGACAACUUUAUUUGGCUACGCUGGUCUCGCUAGCGUGGCAGUAUUAUUUAGCUACGCGGUCCUAGAUGGCGUGGUAAAAUAAUACUGUGGCGCCUGCUAUAAGUGACGUGUAAGUGUUGUUUUGUUAUGUUAGGCAUGUUGGUAUAGUUAAACGGUUUAGAUUUUGAAAAUAAAUUUUAGAAGGGUUUUUAAAAUUAAAAAGUAAAAAGGUUCAAAAAGAAUAAUAAAAAAUUCCCUCGUCCAUGUAGACAACCACCCCGAUCUCUUGAAAUGUGCUGCCCGAAGUCUUCUCCGCCUCCUUCCACAGCUUCGGAUCCUGCAUAUAGUGGUAGGGCGUGGGCGCGUGGCUAAUGAGCGAUCGAUCCCCAUGCCCCCUUAUACACUCCUCUCUCCCGUCCUUUCCUCCUUCUUCUCUUUCUACUACACCAUAAAUUUUUUUAAAAAAAAAAUAAAGUUGGAAAAAUUAAUGUAUAGAAAUACUAUAUAUAAAAAAUAUUUGAAUUCAAAAUCAAAUUUGAAACGAUUAUGUAAACUUUUGACUUAUAAACUUUGGGUCUAUAAAUUAAUAUUUAAAUUCAAAUUUAAAUUUGAAUCGGGUAUGUAAACUUUUGACUUAUAAACUUUAGGUUUAUAAACUUUAGGUGUAUAGAAUACUAUAUAUGGAAAAUAUUUUAAUUCAAAUUUAAAUCUGAAUCAGAUAUAAUUCAAAUUCAAAUUUGAAUCGGGUAUGUAAACUUUUGACUUAUAAACUUUGGUUAUAUAAACUUUAGGUGUAUAGAAAUACUAUAUAUACAAAAUAUUUGAAUUCAAAUUCAAAUUUGAAUCGAAUAUAAUUCAAAUUCAAAUUUGAAUCGGAUAUCUAAACUUUUGACUUAUAAACUUUGAGUCUAUAUACUUUAGGUGUAUAAACUUUAGAUGUAUAGAAAUAUUAUAUAUAAAAAAUAUUUGAAUUCAAAUUUAAAUUUGAAUCGGAUAUAUAAACUUUUGAUUUAUAAACUUUGGGUCUCUAAACUUUAGAUGUGUAAACUUGAGGUAUAUAAAUUUUAGAUGCAUAAAUUUACUAAAAUAGAAAAGUAAUGCGGUGAAAAAAAAAAACCAGGUGGAGGAGAGGGGGGCGACCCGAUCGCCCCUAGCGAGCGAUCGCCCAGUUUCGUUAGGGGUAGCCAGGUUGGCUGGUACCAUCGCUGCAUCGGUGAUCGGCCAAAACCAGUGAACAACUAGAUUGCUUCCCUAGCCAGCACUGCAUUUUUCCGAUUCGUCUUGAUUCUUUUGGUCCUGAGUUUGCCUUUGUCGAGAAGUGAGACUAAGAGAGAUAUCUCUAACUUCCUCCGUCCCAAAAUAAGUGCAAUUUUGUACUGUUUACGUCCAACAUUUGACCAUUCGUUUUAUUUAAAAAGGUUUUAUGAUUAGUAUUUUUAAAUUUAUUAGAUGAUAAAACAUGAAUAGUAAUACUAUUUUUUUCGGGAAUGCUAGGGGACGGGAUACCGUCCCCCAAACGGGAUAGCUCCUCCUCCACAACACGAUUCCUGCUCACUCGCUGCCAUCGCCGUCCCCCGCCACUGCCGCGCCCGUCCCUGGUCGUCUUCGCCGUCGCCGCCACCGCCGCGCCCAUCCCCCACCGCCACCGCGCCCAUCCCCCGUCGACGCCGCCGCGCCCAUCCCCCACCGCCACCGCGCCCAUCCCCCGUCGACGCCGCCGCGCCCAUCCCCCACUGCCGCCGUUGCUGUCCCCCGCCGCCGUGUCCGUCACCCGCUACCGCCGCCGUUGCCACGCCCAUCCCCUGCCGUCGCCGUCGCCGUCCUCAUCUACAAGGGACGGCUGCAGGGGGCCAACCGCGCGUGUCGAGGUGCUCCUCCCCCAACGGGAUGCCCAGCUAUAUCUAGUAGGAAUCACCUGAUACCUGGUAGGUAUCAUCCGAUACCUCGCAAGUAUUACGCGAUAUAUGGUAGAAAUCAUUUGAUACCCGAUAAGUAUCACAUGAUACCUCGCGAGUAUCACACGAGGUAGUACUUCAAAUCCUUGAUUUGUUGGGUUGAUUUGAUCGAUUUCUUUGGUUUUUGCGGUGCCCUUGAUUUCUUGGGCUGUUAUGGUGACGUAGACUUGUACUAGUUGAUUAUUGAUUUUCCAUCUCCAUUAGAUUUUGCUCUCUUUAUUAGCUAAUCCACCAUCGACAGACCUCAGGUCGGCGCUCGCCGGUGGUGGAAACAGGCCUCAGGGUGUCGGUGCCCGCCGUGGCGCACCGGUGCUCUUCAUAUGUUCUGCUCCCCCGGACCAUCGCCAUAUGGUCCCCGUGUUUUUUUUUCCUAUCACUUGCACAUGGGUCCCGAAGAUAUUUCUUUUGUUUUUUCGAUAUAACUGUCAAGUAGAUAUCACGUCUGCACAUAUGAGACUAAGUUAAUGUCACGUCAACGAAAACCGUUCUCCAAAAAAGGAAGUAAUUUUGUAUGGUUAUGUUCUCAAAACAAUAAUGGGAGUACUUAGAGGACUCGGCAUAUUCGAUAUUCGGUUUUGCGUUUGCGGUUAUGGCUUUCACAGUGCACACACAUGGCGUGUGGCAAAGUCUAUCCACAUAAGCACAAUGCCUGCGUUGAGGAGAGGAGGUGGGGCCCACGUUUUCAGCAGGUUCGCAUAGCUUGUUUUGGCUCCGAGAACCUCAACGAAAUUUGUCAGAGAAAAAAAGCAUGCCACACACAGAGCAGGAGAGAGAGAGAGGGAAAAAGCUCGCCGGAGAAGCCACUUCCGCGCCAGAGAGAGACGAGUAGGGGCGCAGCCGCCGCCGCCUCCGUCGUCUGUGGCUCCGUUCCAACGCCCCGCCGUCAUCCACAGCGCCGCGGCCAUGAGAUCCGCCGCGCCGCUCGACACCGACGCCGACGCUGUCGUCCGCAGCGCCGCAGCCAUCCGCAGCGCCGCUCGGCGCCACGGCCGUCUUCAGCCGUCGCCGUCGCUAGGCCCCACCACCGUCGCCACUCCGCCCGCUAGGCCCGGCGGCCAGCACCGUCUCCGCCCAAGCUUCUGUGGUGGGGAAAACUGGGAAGGGAAUGGAGGAGGGGGAGAGCGAAAAAAGUAUAUAGGUAAUUAUAUAUACGUUACUAGCUGUCUAAAAGACAAUAGUACUAAAAAAAUAGAAUAUGAUGAUAAACCCUAAAAUCAACUUCAAAAUUAAGUUUCAAAAUUCAAAUUUGAUUGUGAUAAGCUAACAAGUAGACGAUAAAAUAUAAUUUACACGUGUUUCAGACCAAAUAUUGAUCAUAAAAAUGCUGCUAAAAAAUAUGCUUUUCAAAAAAGUCAGUACAAAUAUGACUUAGAGAAUGUACCACUUAUCACUUUACGCUGUAAACGUUUCAUAGGGACGAGGCUUCCCUAACUUUAUGCAGUUUGCAGUCGUGCCACUGACAUAAGGGCCAUAGUAAAGUAAAGCCCAUAUAUUAGUAACUCAAGUGCAAACUGUUUUAGUCAGAGGAUCCACUUCCCUUUCAUAGAUACGCCACUGAGAUUAAGUAAACACAUAUGCACUCUUUUCUCCCUUCGUAGUACAAUCGUACCUCCUGUUCACGUAUUUUUGUCAUUUUGAGUAUGCGCCAUUAUCAAACUUAACAAAUAACAUUUCGACUAUGAUUUUAUCCACUAUUCAAGCAGAGGUAAUUAUGCUCCAACAGGUCUAUUUUCAAUAAUUCAUGGUCCAUGGACUGCAGAAGUUAUGGAAGUUAACAUGCCUAGAGUCAUUGUAUAUCUUGAAUUUGGUGCGAGGUAGCUUUUCCUAAAAAAGGAAGGGUGCUUGUGAAGUUAAGAGAGGGCGGGGGGGGGGGGGGGGGGGGGGGCUACUAUAAUUUCCAUAAUUGCAGCACUAGUGCAGUGCAGCAUGCAGACAUUUAUGAUCAAAGUGGAAGAAAUAAAAUAGCAAGAGAUCAAACAAAAAAAAAGCAGGUUGAUGAAAUGAUCAAUCAAUAUUUGUUCCAUCAUUAACCACCAAGUCAAGACGAUAUACAGCAACUCUAGGCAUCUAAAAUAUCAAAAACUUACAGUAAAACGACUAUAAUCGAACACAAACAAAACAAUUUCAGUAGUCUCCACUGUCCAGAAGACACAUUGUUCAACACACCCAGGAGACAAAAGUUAGGCAGUCAGCCAUAGCCAUUGAGUUCCACUGACAUGAUUUCAGCAGCUACCACAUAAAACAUUACAUUGAAGCUAAAAUAUGCUUAUGGGAAAUACAGUAAUGCCAAUUUGUGUGUGACGAAAAAGAAUAAUUAGUUAUAGACGAGUAUGCUCUCAACAUGUUCUACGAUUGUGGUAAUAUCUUUUAUACGAGCCAGUAUCCGAUACAUCAAAUAUUCUAGACAAUCUAAUAAAAAGAGUACCCUUCCUCAACUAGUACAUAUCAUUUCAGCACUGACGAACUAAUAUAAACUCCCAUGCAAAACAGAACUAAUACAAACUCCCAUGUAAAGUGAACAAAAUAGCUGUACUAUGCAUGACCAGGGGAGGGGAUCCAAUGGGAGAAAAACAGUAAACAAUGUAAUAUGAAGUCUCAACAAAUAUUGACAUAAAUAAGCAUUACCUGAUGAGGAAAUAAUGUAAUAUGAAAUCUCAACAAAUAUUGAGAGAAAUAAGCUUUUCCUGAUGAGGAAAUAAGCAACAACAUAAACUGAUAUUAGUCAUGCAUAACUCACCAGAAUAUAUGUUUAUAGGAUAUAGCAUCCAUUGUUAAAUGAUAAAUGCUAGAGGGUUUUUGACACCGCAAACAAUCAAAUACAAAUCAUUAUUACAAAAUCCGAAUAAAGUUCUAAGUUACUGAAAAGUUGGCCCAGAAAGUGCGGUUGCAGAAUGCACUCAACAACCUACAACAAUGUAGCACAACAUCAGAAAGAUCUACCAAGUUGCUGCUGAUCUUAUCAACAUCCUAACACCAAUGUCAUAAUUAAGGUUAACAAACCAAGUGUUCACCUAUGCAAGUACGAUGAUCAAUGCCCAUCUGCCAAUGAUUCUGAGUACAAGGGAACAUAUGGAAGAUACAGAAGCCAGUCGGAACUACCUCCAAUCCCACAUAUAAAACACACUUCUCUGCUCUCCAUUUCAUAGGACAUGAGUAUUUUGCUAUGCGGCAAAACCAAGAAAAUGAUAUUCCCUUCCGGAUGAAUUGAGACAACUUUGUAGUCAUGACCAAAAAGGAGUCUCUUGGUUCGAAAUAGAUGUAAAUGGCUGACAGUGUGCUUCCAGAUCCACUGUUCACUGCUGUAGUCCUCAAGAACCCAUACUGAUACUUUAUAUGGUUCAUCGUGAUCGGUGUUUACAAAAUACAGAGAACCCUGAGACAGGCCAAUGAAUCCCUCACCAAUACCAUCGAAAGGCUCAACUAGACUUUGUGGCAUAGGAAUGGUCCUCCAAGCGUUCCCCUCCACGUCAACCGCUGCCACCACAUACUCCAGAGUGAUCAAAUGCAGCACACCAUCAAAAAACACGCUAUUCCAUUCAUCGCGUAUCCUGAUUUCCCAGUCCCAACCAUUGUCCUUGUGACUCCAUUCUCCAGUUACGGAUGAGUAGAUUUCCACCCCUUUGACAUGCCCAUCAAAGUCGUCGUCAUCAUCGACAUUCCCAUCGGCAUCCCCAGCACCAUCCUCCACGAACUCAAACACAUGAAAGUGCGAGGAGGAGACCACUGGAUCGAACCCCAAACGAGCAGUCUGCACCUUGUCAGACCAGCCGGAAUCAGGCAGGAUGACCCAUUGUUCAGUGGCAGGAUUAACCACAAGGUAAUCAAAUCUCCGUGGAUCUGCGAGCCUCCAGCAGCGGCACAGGAGGAGGCCAUUGCAGCUGUCAAGGACGUUGAGAAACUCGCACUUGGGCAGGAAGGGGAGCGAGGGGUCAACAAACGGGCGGCCUUCCCCUGUGACGUUGGUGAAGGUGUCGGAGUAGAAGAAGCCGACAAUGGCGUCGCCGAGGUGAUACCGCGGCAGCAGGUGACGGUGGUCGGGGUGGGAGAUGACGCGGCGCCACCGCCUGGAGACGCACUUGGAUCGGCAGAGCGACUUGUAGGGCACGCGCGAGAGGAUCUCGACGAGGAGGUCGUCGGUGAGCUUCUCCGCCGGCGGCGGGAUCCACCCCCUGCGCCCAUCCCUGGAAUCCCCCUCCGCCAUGGCUGCGCGAGCGACAGAGAUAGAGAGAUCAGGGAUGCAAAAGGAUUAGGAAAUGGAGGUGAAACCAAUCCACAGUGCGGCGGCUUUAGAAAUGCGCGUACCGGAGGAGGAGGAGGCGGGCGGAGCUAGGGACGGCAGCGGUCUGGAUCCGGCGCUCCGGUACGAGUCGAGUCGACGGCGGCGAGGCGAGGGUUUCUGGUUGCGGCGACGCCGCCGUGCGCUUCGAUCACGCGGGGAAGGAAAGAGAGGCGAAGUGGGCCACGAUGCGGUAGAAUUUGAGCCUUGGGCUGGUUUUGUUUUAUGGGCCUGGAAUGAAGUUGUCUCGUUUCUGCAUUCUUGCCUUGGAAAAAAAGUCUGAUUUAGCUCCCUUACUUCAUAAGUCGCGUGUUUGGUUUCCCGGCUCGUACCUGGCUCGCAUCUCGGAUGAGCAGGAACGGCCGAAUCUAGCUUCGCUGCUCGUCCUGGCUCCACGCAUAUGCAACCGCGCUGCAGCCGCGCGUGCAAGCGCCGCACCCGCGCAUGCAGGGAGAGGCGAUGGGGGUCACCAACGGGGAUUUGGAUCCUCUACCUUCACGGCUUGAAGGCACGAGCGUGCAGUCGGCACCUCAUCCACCGUUCAAAUAAUCCAAUGGCUCACGUCGCCUGUGCACGUAUGAAUGGAUAUCUGUCUGUCAAAGCCCACGAAGCACUACUGCUAUAUUUCAGUCCGAAUACCAAUGAUGUUUGCAUUAUAAAUUUCGUAAUUUUUCUUAUCAAUCCUAUGCUCUAAUCAUAAUUUUUCUUUUGCUUUUAUGAUGUGACUUGACAUUGCGUCAUACUCCCUCCAUUAGUUCCCAAAAUAAAAACUUAUCAUGUGGAAAAAAACUAAUUACACAGUGUGCGUGUAAAUUGCGAGAUGAAUCUUUUAAACCUAAUUGCACCAUGAUUUAACAAUGUGGUGCUACAGUAAAUGUUUACUAAUGACGAAUUAAUUAGGCUUAAUAAAUUUGUCUUGCAGUUUUCUAGCGAAAUCUGUAAUUUGUUUUGUUAUUAGACUACGUUUAGUAUUUCAAAUGUGUGUCCGUAUAUCCGAUGUGAUAACCAAACCCAAAAUUUUUCUCUAACUAAACAAGGCCUAAGUCGCUUGACUUUUUUUUCUAGUCAAACUUCUUUUUUUUUUUACUUUUUAACACAAAACAAAUAUAUUAUAAAAAUAUAUUCAACGUUAGAUUUAAUAAAGCUAAUUUGAUAUUUUAUAUAUUACUAUUUUUUAUAUAAAUUAGUCAAACUUAAGGAUUUUUGACUAAAAAAAAAUCAAAUGACUUAUAAUAUAAAAAAAGAUGGAGAACUACUUUGUAAUGAAUUAGUGUUGUUAUUUGAAACUUUCGGUUUUCUUGUAUUUUUAAUUUGGUGAUAUCAUCCAUUUUUUUUCAUGUGUAUUAGCAUUAAUAUAGUUUGUAAGUUUCUUCAGCUCGCGUACACUUCCCAGACCAAAACAACCAUCGUGGGAUUUUUUUUCGAUAGAACCAUCGUGGUCUUUCACAGACAAAUUUAUCCAAAUCCCACCAACGGAGGGUGCUGAUCGGCGACGCGCGGCCGCGCACGCGUGUGAUCAGCGCCCCCCCCCCCUCUAGUCUCUACUCUCUACUCCUAUACAGGAGUACUAUCUAUAUACGCAUACGUAUAAACUUUGUAUUUAUGUAUAAACUUUGUAUUUAUGUAUACAAAGUUUAUAUGUAUGUAUAUAUAGUAUAUAUACACGCGUAUAUAUAUACACACUUUAUUGUAUAAAAAAUAUACACACGUAUAUAAAGUUUGUGUGCGUAUGUAUAAAAAACACAAAAAAAUAUACGUAUACAAACUUUCUAUACAUCUAUACCAAAUUUAUGUACAUACGUAUAAAACUAAAAAAAAACACAUACAAACCUUAUAUAUGCGAAUGCAAACUUUACAUACGCGUAUACGCGUAUGUAAAUUCUAUAUACGUGUAUACAAAGUUUGUAUUUAUACAUAUAAAACGUAUUUGAAAAAAACUAAUAAUGACGCGGAAAGAAAAAACAGAAAAGCAAAAAAAAAAAGAAGCCGUAAACUACGGAAAGAAAAAACGAAAAUCGCAAACUAGUGAACUACAUCUACGGAAAAAAAAAACCAGAAAAAAAAGAGAAGGAAAUCGCUCAGAAAAAAAAUCACGCGCCGUCCGCCGCCCCCUCUCCACGCGCAACAGGCGUCCAGUCAUGCGGAGAGGGCGCGCGCGACUGGUCGCGGAGGAUUAGCUUUCUCGGUCACGAACACCACCCUGUCUCCCUCCUCAUUUCUUCCGUCUUCUCCUCUCUUCGCUAUCGCCGGCCACAGCCACCAGUUGUGACCAUCUCCAUCUCUAUCAGCCAGAUCUAGCUGCAAUAUCAAUUCUUUAUAUAUUCUGCUUAAAUCUGGUACAAUAUACCGUAAAUAAAUAGCUUUUAGAUGAUAAGAAUUUUCACUCUCAGGGAAAGAAAGUACUCCUACCUACUUUCCCUACAACCAACCAAACAAAAUCUCUCCCAAACUAUAUUUUUGAUGCAAGCAACCAAAUAAAAUCUCACGCUAACCCGGCUAAACCAAUACAACCAACCAAACAGCUGCAUAUGUAUCUACUUAACCAUGUCAAACUCAGCCUGAAUGAGGGAGAUAGGCUAGGCUAAGAAGAUGCGAGCAACCAAACACACCCAACGGGACUUACAAUGCGUCAUCAAGUUUUGGUGGACCUCACAUGCCACCUAGACAAAGAACAAUAUUAGCCACAUGUUUUACAGUGCAAGUUGCUUAUAGUGGAUUCUACAGUACACUUUGCUUCUACUUUUUACUUUCCCUUUUUUUUUCACGGCCAUAGCUCCAACAACCUGAAUGAGAUACAGCCAAAUUAAUGAAAGAAAUGAUACUAGUUUGUGAUGCCAUCGAAUCAGGUUGGACACCAUCUUGCUGGCUUUUAUAGGCUUUCAGUUUCCCCACAAAAACUUUUCACCAUGUCACAUCAAAUGUUUGGACACAUAUAUGAAGUACUAAAUAUAGAAAAAAAAUUAUUUACAUAGAUUGCGUAUAAAUUGUGAGACGAAUAUUUUAAACCUUAUUGCUUCAUGAUUUGACAAUGUGGCGUUACAGUAAAUAUUUGCUAAUAAUGGAUUAAUUAGGCUUAAUAAAUUCAUCUCGUAGUUUACAGCGAAAUCUGUAAUUUGUUUUAUUAUUAGUCUACAUUUAAUACUUCAAAAGUAUGUCCGUAUAUCCGAUGUGACACGCUAAAACUUUUCUCCCAUGUAACUAAACAUGCCAUAGUAUGUACGCACACUUGUACAUACUGCAGCCACUAUCUUAAUCACUUUUAAAAGGAUUUGCGUAAAAUUUGUCUCGAAUUUGCGAUCUGCAGAAAUUUUUUUAAAACAAUAACAAAGAUCGAUUGAAUUCUGGAGAGAUUUAAUGCAGCAUUAUUAUUGCCAUUGUCGUCUACUACAGUUAACACUCGCAUAUGCAACUAAAAAUUCAGGCGACUUCUGAUGCCACUGAUGGCGACACCAUCUUGCCAUGGCCACCGGCGAUGCCCCCCGGCGACGGCGGUGGCGGCGGAUCAACCACAACCAUGUCCCUCCUCCGCGCGACGUGCCAGACCAUGUCGGCGAGGUCGCGCGCCGACGACCCGCCGUCCGCCAUCGCCGCCCUGGCCUCCGCCGCGAGCUCCCUCGCCCUCGCGCGCCUCGCCGCCGCCGCCGCCCCGUCGCCCAUCAGCUCCUCCACCGCGCUCGCCACCUCGCCGCUCCGCACCUGCACCGGGGAGUUCACGGCGUCGACGUGCGUGACGGGCACCUUCACGCCGGCGCGGACGCCGGCGCCGAGCACGUCGACGGCGAGGCACUCGUUGAGGAACUGGUCGCCAAAGUGCGGCCAUGUCAGGAGCGGCACGCCAUGGGAGAGCGACUCCACCGUCGAGUUCCAGCCGCAGUGGGUGAGGAAGCCGCCCACCGCCGGGUGCGACAGGAUGGUCACCUGCGGCGCCCACCCGCGGAUGACGAGUCCACGGUCCGCCACCACCCGCGCGUCGAGGCCGGCGGCGGCGGCGGCGUCGGCGUCGGUGUCCUUGGUCACCCAGAUGAACGGCCGGUGCGACGCCUCCAGGCCGGCGGCGAGCUCGGCGGCUUGCGGUGGAUUCAGGCGGGCGAUGCUGCCGAAGCUGACGUAGAGCACGGACGCCGGUGGGCGCGCGUCGAGCCACGAGACGACGCGCGCGGCGUCGACGGCGGCGCGGUUGCCGCGCGCCGCCGUGGCCUCGGCGUCGGCGUCGAGCAGGCAAAGCGGGCCAACCGCCCACACGUUCCGGGCGCCGCCGCCGAGCACCUCCGCGUAGCGGCGGACGAACGCUUCCUCGAAGGCGGCGCAGGUGUUGAACACCAGCCCGUCGGCGGUGGCCUCGGCGUCGAGCGUGUCUUGCCGGUGGCUCUCCAGCCCGGGCCAGUGGAAGAGCCCCAGCGACGACGCCCUGUUCGUCGUCACGGCGCGCGGCGCCGGCAAGUCCGGCACGUCGAACGGCUCAAGGUCGCCGGCGACGCGGUCGUACACGCCGUGCCUCGCCAGGUUAUGCACCGCGAGGAUGUACAGCGCCGACGGGCCAUGGAACACGAGCCGCGGCACGCCGAGCCGCCGCGCGACGCCGGCCGUCCACGGGCUGCACGAGUCGGCGACGACGCAGUCCGGCCGCCGCGGCAGCGCGCGGAGGAACGCCUCGAGCGGCGCGGCGAGCCGCCACACGGCGUCGGUGAACGUCUUGAACAGGCUCAUGUCCGCCACCAUGUCGUAGCUCUCGCACCCGGCGGCGAGCCCCAGCGCCGGCCCGGGGAACUCCAGCACGGAGACGUCGACGGCGAGGCCGGAACGCGCGGCGUGCGCGACGGCCGCCCGGUGGCGCGCGGCCAUGACGGGCGUAAGCACGACGGUGACUCGCGCGCCGCCGCCGCCAUGGCCGGCGAUGAGGCGCGCCAUGUCCAUCAUCGGGAUGACAUGUCCCUGCGCCGGGAGCGGCACGAGCACGAAGUGGAGGGGCGCCGCCGCCAUGGCCACGCUGUCCUCAGAGCUCGCUGGCUUCCGCGAUUUUAUGGGCGGAGAAGACGGGGAUGAGAGCGCCAUGAAUCGCAAGAGGACAGGCGGCGAGAUAGGGGAUGAUCUCACGGCAAUGGCGACGGCGACGGCGACGUGGAUUCGCCGGCGGAGGCGCGGCCACGGGUGCAAGUGAAAUACAAGGUGGCCACGGCUUCCAUGGACGCCACAGAAGUACGUAGGUUUGGUCUCUUAUAUAAAAGAAAUGGAAAAAAAAAAAGCACACUCCCUGUAUUCGUUUAUGGUUGGCACCAGACACUAUUCAUAUUUAAAUUUUAACCGCUCGUUGUUUUUGAAAAAAAUAAAAGGUUAUAAAGACUUGAAAUGAUGUUAUAUUAUUAAAGUGUGUUAUAAAUCUUUUAUUUGUCAUAGGCUAACCAUUUAAAAUUUAUUAGUUUGAAUAGUGAUGGUAGAUUUUUUUUUCUUGAAGAAUUAGGUGUCAUUUUUUAACCAUUAAGAAGAGAACAAAGUUACAAAGGAGAAGAAAAACCUCUCUGCAAGAGCCAAUUACAAACGCACAAGCACAAAGGUAGAAACUAAAGAACGAGUACGUUCAACAUGCAGGCCAUGUAAAAAAAUACCAUUCUCUAAAAAAAAAAGCACCACACACUAUUUAAAUUUAAUAUUUAAUCACUCGUUAUUUUUAAAAAUAAAAGUGUUAACGAUAAAAUUUUUGGUAUGUCCCGAUGUCAUCAUCGGUCUAGAGCUAAUAUCGGCUUCAGAGUCCUAGAUCGGCCGGUGGAAUUAUCAAGUCGCCAAGAUUUGGUUAAGGAAAUUAAUCAAUUAAAGGAAGUUUAUCCAGAAUAGACCGAGUUUAAGGAGGAUACAUCAUGACAGCUUAUUUAUUAAUUAAGAAGAAUCUGUUAAUUUCCUUUUUAUCUUUAGGAAAGUAUGUUUAGUGUCCGAUAAGAACUUUACGUUUUUCCUUUUAUCUUUAGGAAAGUUUGUGUCAUGUCCAAUAAGGACUAGUAUCUACCCAUGGAUACAAUACAACUACUCUCGGUGCAUUGCCAUCCUCUUUUCCAACAUUUUUAUUUAUCAACCGGAGGAACUUGGCACUUGACGCGAGGCUGCAUCGUUUUUCGAUCUCCGGCGAAGGGGUAAGUCCUAUGUUCUGUCGGCCCUGGCAAUUGUAUCGGCUAUAUUGGUGUUGUUCAAGACUGUAUCGCUUCGACCUCUUGGAUCGCUCUGAUUCAGUUGAUAUAUUUGCCUACCUAUUUAUUAUAUAUCUUAGUUAAUCUAAGUUGAUUAUUCAAUUUACUUGUAUCGAUCAGAUCUUUUAUAGGGUUUUGUCGAUAUCGGCUAAAUUAUUUUGUUGAUUUAGAUUAGCUAAAGUAUCCAACAUCCUGAAAAUCAGUCAAACGCUUAAUUGUCUAUUCUUUUUAUACUUAGUGCUGCAUCAAUUGGGUUUGACCUACUAAGUCGUGCUUAGAACAAUAAUCUCUAGCCUGCUGUUUGAUUUCCAAUAAUGGUUUCAUUGGGGUUUUAGCCAAUGAGUUAUCAGGACAUUGCAUCGGUAUACAAGAAUUACAUACAAGUUGGUUUUAGUCGAUUGCAACAAAUGUUUCACUUAUUAUAUAAUAUUGUAAAUUUAAUGACAUCGGACCUCUAGCCGAUAUAUGCUUUAACCUUCGAAUCAACGCUUAUUCUAUCAUAUCAUUAUUUACCGAUUGGUUUCGAUUGGAUUAUAUUAUUGUUUCAUUAUAUUAUCAUCAGCUGAUUGUCUUUAUAUCAUUAUUUACUUAAGUGUCAAAAAUCUACAUUGGACAUAUAGCUAAUCACUCAAAACCCUAUCGACAUCGGCUAGUAUCGACAUCGGUUAGCAUCGACAUCGGCUGGUAUCGCUCCAUCGGCUUGUCGGCCGAUCGACUCUUUGAUCUGCUAUUUAUAUAUCUUGUUAGUUGCAAAAUCAAACUGACAUGCACGCCCACAUCUCAUUAAUAUUUAGGACCUGCACUAGAGCUAAGUAGAUCUCUCAGAUCAUUGUGUUCGUCGAUUUAGUUCGUGCCAACACAGAUCUGGCACCAUCGGCCGAGCACGAAUUUUUCGUCAACAAAAAGUUAUAAAGACUUGAAAUGAUGCCGUAUUAUUAAAUUGUGUUAUAGUACAUCGUAAAUAUAACCAACUUUUAUCUGUCAUAGGUUAACUAUUUAAAAAUUAUUAGUUUAAAUAGUGAUGGUCGAUUUUUUCUCGAAGAAUUAGGUGUCAUUUUUUUAACUAUUAAGAAGAGAAGAAAGUUACAAAGGAGAAGAAAAACCUAUCUGCAAGAGCCAAUUACAAAUGCACAAGCACAAAGCUAAGAAACUAAGGCCUUAUUUAGUUCCCAAUAAAUUUUGCCCAAAAACAUCACAUCAAAUCUUUGAACACAUACAUGGAUCAGCAUUAAAUAUAGAUAAAAAAACAAAUUGCACAGUUUGCAUGGAAAUCACGAGACAAAUCUUUUGAGCCUAAUUAGUCCAUGAUUAACCAUAAGUGAUACAAUAAUCUACAUAUGCUAAUGAUGGAUUAAUUAGGCUUAAUAAAUUCGUUUCGCGGUUUCAUUCGUGUCCGAAAACCUCUCUCGACAUCCGAUCAAACGUCCGAUAUGAUAUAAAAAAAUUCUUUUCGUGAACUAAACACACGUAAAGAAAACAACUGCGAUCAAAACCAACUCUACGAGUAUAGACUGUGUGCCACAAGGACGCUAGAAAAUGCAUAUUAUUGUCCUUUCUAGAACGAUGAAAACCCAGUUCCACCCAUUCAUGUACAAGUUGAUCUUUUAAAAAAAAAUUAUAGUUCUUCUCUCAGAUAUACGCUACAUGGAAGACAUUUUUACAGCGGCUUCUUUUGACGAAGGCACCCACUGAAGAAAUACAAAAUUAUCUUAGCGAAGACUUACAUUUUUACUUUCAGUGGUCAAAAAACUAGGGCUAAAGAAACAUAACACCAUGAAACAAAACCCAAAAGGCAAUUCUAAGAUUGAGAUCAAAAUUUGGUUGUUCCCACGCGUUACGAUCAAUGUUCUAAAUCUCCGGCUAAGGCUUUUAGUGGUUGUACUCUCCCACAGCUAAGAGUAAGAGCAGCUAUAGCUACAGCGAAAGCAUUUAGUGGUUUUCUAAAAUAUAAGAAAAUAUUAAAAAAUUUGACAGAAAUUUGAGCUAAAAAUUGACAUAUCACUUAUUUCGUUGCACAUAGAGUUCAUCACCGAUUCAUACUUCAUAGAUGGAGUUCAUAGUUCCUAACUCAUACUUUCAUAGUUCAUACUAGAUCAUACAAAUACAGGGCACUUGAGUUCAUAGUUAUAAAUUUAACAGUUCAUAGUUGGUAAAAUAUCCUAUGCACAUAAGCUCUCACGUGUACAUACGUGCACACCAACUAACAAAUGUCAAAAAAAAUAUAGAAAAAUUACUUUCAAUAGUAUUAUAUCUAGGGGUAAAAUCUUAACCUCAAAUUUAUUAUAUUUUAGCCAUGAUAGUUUUAAGGUUAUAAUUCUGUCAGAAUUUUAUCUUUUUUUACUCUCUGUGUAGAAUGAAUUUGAAGAUACUACUUUGCACAUAGAUAUAAUACUAUUGGAAGUACAUGUAUGAAUUUUCUAGAAUUUUUUAUGAUAAUUUUUAGUUGGUGUACAUGGUGUGUAUACACGAGGAUCUGUGUGCAUAGGAUAUGUCCCCUUCCUAGUUCACUGUAAACAUAUCACUUGAGUUCUUGACACAAAUAAUAAAUAUUUAAUCACAAGAAGUCAAGAACAUGACCAUUAAUUAACAAAAUAAGAACAACAAGUUCGUAGAUUAGAAUAUUGCAUUCCACUAUUCAGAUUUAGAGGCUGUUCAAAUUGAUGUUAUUUUCAACCAUAACCAUUUUUUGGUAAAGUUAUCAAAAAAAAAGUGUCUACGUUUAGUUUGUUGCCAAAUUUUGCUAAAUGCAUUGUUAAAAUUUGUUAAGGUUUAUUUUGGCUACAAUCUGAACAGGCCCUCAGAGACACAAUGAGACUUAUCAGAAUCGGAGGAUCCCACUGAAACGUCUCCAGCGCCAUUGCCAUCACCAUUUUCUGAGUCAGAUGAUGAAGGUCCAGGCUGCAUUGUAGCAUCAUUCGUCAAAGAGUGCACGCUCUUGAUUUUCUUCUUUCUAGGGCGCACAUGCCUCUUCCUUUUUCAUUGAGCUUGUGAUGAUUCUCCCUGUGAUGCUCCAUCUUGUGGAUCAUGUUCAGCGAGCUCAUUAGAAAGAGGUACGAUAUCACCGCUAAGUGCAGCUAAAUUCGACUAUUUUAGUGGCUAUCUCUGGCUAAAUGCAACUAUUAGCGUCCGAUAAACUAUAGCGUCAAAGUUUGUGUAUCCUAGCUAUUCCCCUCCCCAUCUGCUAUCUCCAGCUAUAGCUCAUUGGCUAGUAUUGAUAACAAAUAAAUAUAAUACUCAUGAAGAUCAAUUAGCCACCUAGUAAUAUGAGCAUCGAAGGAUCAUAAAUAAAUUUUUAAAAAUAAUUAUCCUCAAUUCUGGAAAUUAUAUCCAUGAUCAAAUGGAACCAUUUAGGAUAUGAGUGCAGAACACACAACUACGAUCUACGGCACUACCCAUAAUCCUUUUAUCAGAGUAUAAAUUGGUCAGGGUAUGAAAAAAAAGAGUAAAGGGGAGUUCGGGAGGGCAGCUCAAGAUAGUUUUUUUUUGGCACGCAAAACAAGACAAGUGGUUAAUAAAUGACUGAUCGAGUAUUAAUUAUUACAAACUUAAAAAAAUAAAUUUAUUUAAUUUUUUAAAAAACUUUUGCACAAAACAUACCGUUUAACAAUUCGAGAGAUUUUUCUUUAAGCCCAAACUCACUCUAAGGGCCUAUUUGGGGGAGCUUCUAGCAACUGCAGCUUCUCCUAGAAUCUCCAGUUGCCAGAAGCUUCCCAAACAGUCCAGCUUUUUACCUAGAUUCUAAGAAUCUGUAGUUGUAGAAUCUAGAAAAUAAACUAGAAGCCAGAAGCUGGGUUUCUCACCAGCUAGCUUCUUAGCAGCUCCUUUUCAGAAUCUUAACCUCCCCCAAACAGGCCCUAAGGCUAGGUUCGUUAAUGCAUGUUUACAACUCACUCCCCCUCGUUUUCCGCUCGCACGUUUCCCAAACUGUUAAACGGUGUGUUUUUGCAAAAAUUUUCUACAUGAAAGUUGCUUUAAAAAAUCAUAUGAAUCCAUUUUUCAAAUUUAUUUUAACUAAUACUUAAUUAAUUAUGCGCUAAACGUUGCUUCGAUUUACGUGCUAAGGAGUGAGGGUCAGCCUAAGUACUCAGCCAAAGAAAUUCAAGUCAUAUAUGCUGUGAUUUUAAAACUAAAAUCUCAUUCAUCUCAUCUCCAAAACUAAGACCCAGGAAACCCUAGGCAUAAUAUGGAGACAUAGAGUACUACACCUAACGGAAGUUUUUAUCUGUAGUCUUCAGAAGUCGAAGAAGCUUGGUUGUUUCAUCCUCCAGUUUCUAGCGAGCGACAAGCUGAUCAUGAAUUCCAUCUGCUGAUCUGCUUGCUGUUCAUCAUUCAUUGGCCCAUAGACCAUAGUACGAUGCAUCCAAGAUAUGAUAAUUUGGCUCGGAAAAUAGGACUUUGUACCUGUAAAGAUUGUAGGAUCAUCUGUUCUGUUCUGGAGUUGCUGACGUUUCUUGGUUUUGGUUGGUACCAAAUUUCACACCCAAACUGGAGGAGCAGAGAAGCCUACCAAUUACUACAAGACAAUCUCUUUUCUACUACCUUCCACUACAUCUUUUUCACUGAAUUUGAUGUAUGUGUUCGAUCACUAGUUGAUCUCUUUCUGUACAGAUUGGUUCCCUACAAGACUUAGAAAUCUUGUGGGCAACAAUGAAAAGGACAACCAUGUUCUGAAAGUUUCAUCAGCUUUCUCUAUUUGAUUGGCAUACUCUAGCACAACUCUUCAUGAAUGUCCAGAAAGACUGGAAGUUGAUUUGCGCAAAAUAGCGUGUGCAUGUGUAACCCACAAAUCAUUUACUGAUUGAGAACCAUUUUUGUAUUUGAAUUGUUCACUGCUUUAACCUGAGCUGUUUGUCUGGAUCCUACAUGUGUUCAGCAAAGUUCUUAGGGUACAACAGAAGAAUAAUAUGGGCACAUUUAAAGGAAGAUUUUCAGCAUACUUUUGAAAGGAACAAAAUCAUGUAGCUACACAAAGAAACAUCUAAUUUAGAAUCUUAAGUCCAAGGAUCGAUUCCCUACCUCAAUGAUAUCCAGAGAUUACCAUGCUAUUUUCAAUUAAAGAAAAAGGAGCAGCAGCUGGAACAUGCAUCAAACUCCGCAAAGUAUAACCCACAAAGAAACAAAAAAAAACAGACUUUUUUUUAGAAUAAUCCAAAUUCAAACAUUUUAUUUCGAUAAUCUCUGUUAUGAAAGAAUGCUACUCGCUUCCAAGCAUACUCCAAACCGGUUAUCUUCUGAAGCUAUCCAUACUUAUUUUCAUGAUGGAACCAGUAAAAUCCUGCCAGGAUGACAUUGCUUGCAUAUAGCCAUUCAAGUGUCAGUGUAAAACUGUAGAAAACUUUUUCCCUGAUAAAUUUUUAUAUCAAUCUUGCCCUGAUACCUCACAUUAUGACGAAAUGAUCAAUUGCAACAUUGAUCUUGUUUGUGGAAAUGACACGCACUAGUCUACAUAAGUCAGCAUUUCCAUAAGUUAGCAUUUCCAAGUCCUUAGUAUUGACUGUUCAGUCAACAUAUGUCGACGUUUUUCUAAGAUACUCCCUCCAUCCCAAAAUGUUUGACGCUGUUGACUUUUUUAAAAAUGUUUAAUCGUUCGUCUUAUUCAAAAAAUUUAAGUAAUUAUUAAUUCUUUUCCUAUCAUUAGAUUUAUUGUUAAAUAUACUUUUAUGUAUAUAUAUAGUUUUAUACAUUUCACAAAAGUUUUUGAAUAAGACGAACGGUCAAACAUGUUUAAAAAAGUCAACGGCGUCAAAUAUUUAGGGAAGGAGGGAGUAACUUGGUAGAGAAGGUUGCUCACCUGUCGCUAUUAGAUAAACAAAUGCAAAAAUGUAGCGCAGGUUCCUCUUCUCAUCCAGAACUUCUUUUUUUUUUUAAAAAAAAAAAGAAGAUGUACUAUGCUAUUCCAAAACUGUGAGCUUGCACAGUUGCAUGGUACUACACUAAUAGCAGGAGAAUAUUAUAUUAGCAGUGAUCCAUAGAGGAUUAUGUCAUAGCCACUCUGCAUUAGUCAAGGGGUCAAUGUGUUUAAGUAAAUUGAUCAAGCAAGUUGCAUACCCAUGGGAGAGCAGAAUCCAUAUGCCCACAUAGAUUAUCCAGACACCAAUCUCUUCUUCAUCUCUGCAUUUGGGUAAAGGUUUAGAUAGGUAGCCAUGAACAGCUUAGAUGAUGUUCCAAAGCCACACUUUGUAUUGAUACCAUUCAUGGCACAAGGCCACACCAUCCCCAUGAUUGACAUGGCACAUCUCCUAGCCAAGCAUGGCGCCAUGGUCAGCUUCAUCACCACCCCGGUCAACGCGGCACGGAUUCAAUCCACCAUUGACAGGGCAAGAGAGCUCAACAUCCCAAUCCGGUUUGUUCCCCUCCGGCUCCCCUGUGCCGAGGUAGGAUUGCUCGAUGGUUGCGAGAACGUCGACGAGAUCUUGGAGAAAGACCAGGUGAUGAAGAUGACAGACGCCUAUGGCAUGCUGCACAAGCCUCUGGUGCUGUAUCUCCAAGAGCAGAGCGUCCCACCUUCCUGCAUAGUUUCAGACCUGUGUCAGCCAUGGACAGGAGAUGUAGCAAGAGAGCUUGGGAUCCCCAGGUUGAUGUUCAAUGGCUUCUGCGCCUUCGCCUCGCUCUGCAGGUAAAAUCAGUGAUCUCUCAUCAACAUCAGCUCCUUUCAUCUCAGGCUUACUGAGCAAGCUUGUGUCAAUGUUUUUUCUUUUUUUUUUAUAGAUAAUGGAAAUGGUUUACAUCUCCCGCCUCUGCCGACAGGCACACAACCAAUAAGUUUUUGUGUCAAUGUUCUAGGUAUCUAAUUCAUCAAGAUAAGGUCUUUGAGAAUGUGCCUGAUGGAGAUGAACUCGUUAUCCUCCCUGGAUUCCCUCAUCAUCUUGAGGUAUCAAAGGCAAGGUCACCAGGGAACUUCAACUCACCAGGUUUUGAGAAAUUCCGCACGAAGAUCCUGGACGAGGAACGGAGAGCUGACAGUGUUGUUACUAACAGUUUCUAUGAGCUAGAGCCAUCGUAUGUGGAUUCAUAUCAGAAGAUGAUAGGCAAGAGAGGAAUUUUUUUUAUUUAUAAUUUUUUUUAUUAAAAGUUUUACAAAAAUAAUUUUCCAUUUUGAAAAUUGACGGAAAUGGUCGCCUACCGCCCUCUGGGAGGGCGAUUUUUAAAAAUCGCCCUCCCAGAGGGCGGCGAAAAUGACGUGGCAGACGGCCGUUCGCUCUCGGGCGACGGCCGUCAACGAAAUUUGCAGGCGGCCCCCUUGCCGCCCUCCGCGAGGGCGAUUUUGUACUGUGCGGGGGGCCGCCUGCAAAUGGGCGGCGAGGGGGGGCAUGGAAUUUUGCAGGCGGCCCCCUUGCCGCCCUCCGCUAGGGCGAUUUUGCACUGUACCCUAUAUUUUUUUGUAUAUAAAUAUCAAUAGUUAUCAAAUCUUUUUAUAUUGAAAACUAUACAAGAUUAAAAUCUCCAAGACUGGUAAAAUACAAUUUUAUUAUUUUUUAGGGCAUAUUUAGAAUGUUACCGUACAAAUAUUUUGUUAGUGCCAAAAUAUAAGCAAGUUUUGGCACUACCAAAUAUUUGGUAAGGUAAAAUUGCAUUUGAUCAUAUUUGGUUUGCUGCCAAAAUGUAAAAUUGUAGUGAAGAAUGUUGUACAUAAUCUCAAUUCUAGAUUACGUAUUACCAAUUAAUAGGCUUCCAUUUUCGUGUGUGGUGUGCUAGUGGGAAAGAAGAUAUGAAGAGGUUGCCUUCAGAUUGUCAAUUAUAUAGCGUCGUUUUCACUGCAAUAUAUGUGAACUCAAUGAGAUACAUUAUUCAUUAGAUGUGACAAGACGAUCACGCGUGGGCGUGAUUCACUUUAUGUCAACAGGCAGCGCCGAAAGUUGAUAGUGAUAACUCGAGCUGCCGCUUUUCAUGUGUGCUGUUGUGGACUGUGCGCGCUACUGGAUAUGGCACUACCGUGAAGCGCCGAAAGUGUGUUGUUGUGAGCAUAAGUUGUUCAAGCACCAUAUGAAUGAAAAGAACUACGUAGACGAGACAAACACAAGUAGUACUGCAGUAGUAAUAGCAAAAGUAGUACUGCUUUACAAGUUUGUAAGCCAAAAGAAACGGUCACAUAAGGACUGAAGAGGUAGAACACUACUGACGAGGCCUCUUACCCCUGUCCCUCCUACCCUGCGCCCUAAUGUGCCCCUGGGAGUACGUGAGUCGGUCCGGGGGUACGGCACGGCCAACCCGUCCUGCCUGUACAGGUGUGACCUCUGGCUGCUCCUGAGUGUGCGCCUCUGGAGCUCCUCCAAGCUGAGAGGAGCCUAGUACGUCCUGGUGGUCUGCACCGUGCAAGUCGUCGUCGUAGAACUGGCUAGUAGGACCAGUCCUACCGGCGUGAGACGAAGAGGCCCCAGUACCGAAGAUCCCGGCUGCAUAUCCUGCUGGACAAGGACCAUCAGUUUUGUACAAGUAUUUAACAGUAGUAAUAAAAAGUAAAGUACCGUGUGGGCGAGGGAUCGACGCUCCAUGAGAGGAAGAGCUGGCGAACGCGCCCGAAGAGGUGGCGAACGCCCCUGCGGAGCUCGCGGAAGCGCCGGUCGUGCCUGCGAACGCGCUCGAAGGCAAACGAGGUCCUGCGAUGAGGAAACGUGCAGUUAAAACAUGGUGACACAUUCGUGCAAAAGCUGAAACAAAAAUGAACUAAUAUCUGGGCUGAACUGUACCGUGUGAAACCGGUGCUGUAGGUCGCACUGAUCCGAAGCUAGGGGCGCUCGAAGGCAAACGAGGUCCUGCUCCGACGGUAGGCGCGCGAGGCCGUGGGUGUACCGGACCAGCUGGAGGUACGACGUCCACGGCGCUGCGACAGGAGAAGACGCGCAUGACCGCACGCAUCUUCUCCUGCAUCCGGUCGAAGGUCGCCCUCUGCUCAACGUCAGUCAAGUGCAAACCUCUGUUCAACCUCACCUGGACUGCGGUGAUAUCGGCACUGAUAUCCCGUGCCGCAUCAGCCUAUGCAAGAUGGAAAUAAAAAAUUCAGUAGUUGUCCUAUAUUAUGCAAGAUAAAUGACAUAAUUGUUGGAAGUAAUACAAAUUGGACGUACCGCCACGAAGUAGUCUCGGUCACGGUGCGUGGGAUACGCGUCCGUGACAGCGGCAACGUGCGGCUCUGGGGCGUCUGGAGUGAAGGUCACACGCGCACGAGUGCGAGGAAGGUACCAGCGAAGGUAGUCACGGUAGUUCUCCUCCGUGUGUGGGAAGAGCUCGUUGAUCACCUCCUCUGUAGCUAACACCCAGUCGUCAACGUACUGCUGUACACGUGGAGCCCAAAGUGCGCCUGCUAGCUGUCCCCGUCGAGUCAACCUGUGAAGAGAGGUAAAUUGUAUGGCUCGAUGAUGUAAUUAUCAUAAAAAUUUAGAAAUGAACAAUCCGAACUCACGAGUGGUCGGCAGGGGGGACGGUCGGCUGCACGUUGCCCGGAAACACCUGCCUAAGUCCGAACUGUCUCAUCACACGCUGCGGGCAGUGAGGCUCAACGAAAAUGUCGAACACCAUCGGCAGGAUGGUGAGCCAGUAAGCCUGGUCGCGUGUGCACAAGGACGAAAGUCCUAGCGGUGCUCUCGCAGCGACGGCCUCUUCUGUGUACGGCUCCCAGAUGACGUCGCUCGGCUGGAGACGGUCAAACUCGAACACGAAGUCCGGGUAACCACGUCUCACCUGGACGUGAGCGUAACGACGCUGCAAUAAAAAUGAUCGGAAUUAGACAUGUUAUGUGAAUGAAAAAAAAAGAAGAGGACUUAUAAACUUAUAACGCAGCGAAGUUGCACUAACCCCACGUCGACACCAGUAAGUCCCCAUCGUGGGACCGUCCUCUGGCCACUGCGCGCUGCGACCAACCCCGUAGGGUGCGCUGUCCACCACUGGUCGCCCUAUGGCAAACCUCUCGGCUGCCCAAAGCUGAAGCAACAUAGGGCAGCCAGCGAUGAUCGCUCCCGCGUCAGUCUUCGUGCACGCCUCACAGAGGGCACGGUAGGUGGCUGCUAGCACGGCAGAACCCCAGCUCCACUGCGGCACGUCCUGUGGCUGAGCAUCCGCGAUGGACCGUGCGUAGUGGACCAGCCGGAAGUCCACAGCGUGCCCGUGGGUGCUAGUGAACAUCACCCACCCGAACAACCACAACAGGUACGCCUCAAGGGAGCGUCGGACCGAGUAAUCAUCAGCGUCAGGGUGCAGAAGGUCCGCCUACAGUUAAGAAUGAAAUGUUAGUACAAAACACUCAUCCGGUCGCAAAUAAGCAUGUAUGAUAAUGACAACUUACUUACUUACAGUGAACUGUAGCAACCAAGCCUUGCUAGGCCCGACUGUAGAGUACGGAGGAAGGGUGGUGGUCGGUCCUAGGUGUGGAAGGCGCAUCACCUGCUCGAAGCGCGCAGUGAUAUCCUCCUUCCACCCAAAAACACCGUCCACGGGACCAACUGGUGCUCCCGCCAGCGGUAGCCCUAGCAGGUACGACACGUCCUGCAGUGUCGGAGCCAUCUCCCCACAGGGAAGGUGGAACGUGUGCGUCUCAGGUCUCCAGCGGUCUACAAGAGCGGCAAGGAGUGACCGGUCUGCAUCCCACCGCUUCGCUGGGUCACGGUCGUCCGCCGCCGCCUCAACAAGCCUACAAAGUGGUAGAAGGCCUGCCGCACGCAACCUGUAUAGAGCAAACUUCAAACAUAAGUACAACACAAAGCAAAGUUGAGUUGAAAUGUGAACAUACGCGUACCAAGGAACGUGACGGGGGUCGACACGCAACCACUCGCGCGACGUGCGUGGACGGAAGGUGCCGAGCUGUGCAGCCUCGACUGCUGACAGGAACGAGCGGUGGUUCCUGUCAAUCCCACGGUUCAACAGCGCCGGUGUGUCGUACACCAUACCUGCAUCAAAUAGGUUGAUCAGAAACAUAUAAAUAAUUAUGUCAACAUAAGUAAUAAAUGUUCAUAAGCGAAUUACUAACACAUAUUAAACAAGAGUACAAACAAACAAAAGUGUUUAGUCCGAACACUCAUCACGAUAACAUUAUGAUACAACACCGAAUAGUUCGCAAUACUACUAGUACAACAAUAGUCGGAGGUACUCAUUACAACAACAUUGAAUUGAAAUUACACGAUACAAGUAUUUAGUCCGAACACUCAUUACAUCACAACAGCAUUUUAUUUCCUAAAUUGAAAGCAUUGUUACACCAUGGAAUCGCCUGCUGCGCGACGACGCCUUGGCCUUACGCGCCUGCUUGUUGUUCCUUCACCAGGUGGUCGCCUACCAUCACUUGCCUGUCCAGAUGGACUAGCAUCUGCGCCGCUUGGAACUUCUGCAUUUUUCGGGCAUUUCUUGUAAGUAUGGCCGCGCAGAUCACACUUGCUGCAGCGUAAAGUCCUCCCACCUGCUUCUGACUCAUCCAUAUCAUUUCUGAUGCGUCUAGUUUGGCGUCGACCCUUUUUCACCCUUAACUUAGAUGGAUCUGGAAUAUAAAAAACUUGGGCACUCAGCGUUGUGUAAGAUCCUGAGAUCCCGAACCCAUAUAUCUCCUCACUCCAUGUAUGAAAGAUUGCUUCUUUCCUGAAAUAAUUUGAGACGUACACAUUGGGAGAUAUGCCACAAUCACCGGCAGCAGCAAGAACGUGUGAGCAAGGAAGGUGAUGAAGCUUCGGCUUCAUACAACUGCAGGUACAUCCACCAUCCGCCUUCAAGACACAUUCCUGCACGGCUUGCUUGCGAUAGAUACCACGCCUGCUCCUAUCAACACACAUUAUUUCAUACCGAUGCACUUGUGUGCCUUGAGCAACAACUCUAUGUCUCCGUGCCUUUUUGAUUUUAUCUUCCAUGUACUUUGUCACUACGUUGCCAAACACUAUGUUGUUAUCGGCCAUGGACGGACCAAUUUUCUUGUAUCGAUCCCUAAAGUAGUCUUGCGUGCCGUGAAGGAUGAAUUCAACAAUAGCAACCAAUGGAAGUACCCGAACUCCUCGCAUUACCCAGUUGUACACCUCUGCCAAAUUGGUUGUCAUUAUGCCAUACCGAGAUCCAUCGGUGUCGAACAAUAGAGACCACUUCUCCUUAGGCUCAUUCUCAAUCCACUGACUGAAAUUUCUGAUAGACGACCCUGACCUCCUUCUCAUUGUUGGUGGGUCAUCAUGUAAUGCACCAAGAGGUAUGGGAGGCUCGUCACCUUCAACUUGUGGUCUGCGAGAUUGCUCAUCUGUUUGCUUCGUUGUCAACUCAUCCAACUUGUCCCACAACUCAUUAAAUUUCUUCUCUUGGUUCUGUGCACAGAGCCUCUUAAAGAGCUCCAUAAGAUGCUUGUUCUUGAAUUGCUUGUAGAAAUUUGCACCCAUGUGACGCAUGCACCACCGACUCCAAACAUCAGGCCACUUAGCUGGAAGUCCCUUCUCAUCCCAACCGUUCUGCAAGUAGUCAAUAGCCCGCAACAUACCCGCAUGACGAUCAUGUAUAAGGCAAACGUUGGGCCUCAUACGCACCACUGCAAUGUGCACUCUCUCUAGGAACCAGUACCAGCUUUCAGUGUUCUCACUCUCUACAAAUGCAAAAGCCAUAGGUAGAACCUGGUUGUUCCCAUCACACCCAAUUGCUGUCAAUAUCUGACCUCGGUAUUUACCUGUCAUAAACGUUCCAUCUAUGCAUAGAACAGGUCGACAAUGCACAAAAGCAUUGAUGCAAGCACCCAAUGAGAAAAAGGCUCUUUGCAGCACACUCUUUGUUCGAUCAUCAACCGAUGUAAAUGUAUGUAGGUCAUAGUAAGUAUUAUUAUUCCUCUGGGCAAUUGUGGCUAACAAACGAGGCAAAUUAUCAUAAGAUGCUUCAAAUGUGCCAUACCUCAUCUCAAUGAUCUUUUGUUUGGCUCUCCAGGCCUUUGCAUAGCUUAUGGUGUACUUGAAUUUGUUCUCGAUGUGCCUAAUAAUUGAUUUUGGUUCAAAGCCAAUGUUACCAACAACACUGCUGUACAUCUCACUUGCCACAAAAGCUGAAGUGAUGUUUCGGUGAUACUUCUCCACCCCUUGUAAGUAGCACUUGUGCUCGGUCACAAUGCUAACUUUCCAAUAAUCAUUCCAUUUACCCUUAUAUGCAUGGACACGCCACGGACAAUCUUCCUUCAUGCACCUCACUUCAUACACAUAAUUUGUUGACUUGACCACCCUAAACUCUCUCUGCAAUGAAACUGCCCAAUGCUUCACCGCCUCCUUCAUAUCAUCCUUAUGAGCAUACCUUGCACCCUCAAUUACCUCGUUCUCCUUAUACUCCCAGGGUACAUGAUCACCCUCUGAUAUAACAAGUCCAGAGAAGUCCUCAUUUGCCCAAUCAGUGGCCAUUACAUCACCUUCUUCAUCGGAUGAUGCGUCGUCCUCCGCUUGCUCAUUAUCCGAAUCUUCCCUCUCCAUUUCAUCAACAAUUAUACCGACUCUCUCCCCCUCAUCCGCCAUGCCCAUGGCCUGCUCCUCCCUUGGUUGAUUUUCCUCAUUUUCCAUCGAUGGUCCAACAACAUCCCCUGCAUUGCUAGGACCCUCCACAUCUUCGGUUCGCAUUGAAACAUUUGUAUCUUUCUCUUGUACCGACACAAAUAUAACAAGGGGCCAUGACCGUUCAAAAGCCAUUUCCACAUACCGUCUCCAAGCAGCAGUGCUGUCCAUCGGCAUUAGUUCCCAAAAAUAACCUUCUAUUGCACGACUCACUACAACAGAUACUGACAUUGUGUAGACUUCUUGGUCUAUUCUAAAUCCUCUCAACAACCAACUAUAAAUUGACUGAAAUGUUCUCUCCGCAGGCCUAUCGAUGCCCUUAGAUGUCAUUACAAAAUCUGACAGAUCAACACCAUCUGGACCAAAUCUAAUAUUUCCUUCACCGUGAACUAUCUGAAAUGUGACCUUACUUGACAUUGUGCCUGAUGAAAACAUUAACUGUGUUAACCUCGCAUUUCUGUACUACGCCCUAAGUUACAUUCUCUACAAUAUUGUCCUCUAAAUUUCUAAAAGUACGUUACAUUCUCCAGAUCAAACUAAACUACAUCUUACAAUUAACACUACUGUCUAUGUCUCAAUUCAUACUAUUAUAUUCUAUGCUCUGGAUCUACACAUAUGUGCUGUGUGCUACAGAUGUGCUAAAAUAUAUGGAACUAAAACUAAAACGCAACAUAUAUACUCAAACAUAACAUAUUAGUACAAAUGCAAAACAUGUAUGGGAGCAUACCUGUGAUGAAGUGAGCGAACCAGCAGGGCUUCGCCGCUCCCCUUUUGCUGCCCUCCCCUCUCUCUCUUUCGUUUUUUUUGGAUUUUUAGUGAAUAUAAUGAAAUUUCACAGAGGAGUGACUGGGUUUUAUAGAGGGGGGGGGGGCAAAAAUCGCCCUCCCCCAGGGCGGCAAGGGGGCCGCCUGCAAAAUUCCAUGCCCCCUCGCCGCCCAUUUGCAGGCGGCCCCCCGCACAGUGCAAAAUCGCCCUAGCGGAGGGCGGCAAGGGGGCCGCCUGCAAAAUUCCAUGCCCCCCCUCGCCGCCCAUUUGCAGGCGGCCCCCCGCACAGUACAAAAUCGCCCUCGCGGAGGGCGGCAAGGGGGCCGCCUGCAAAUUUCGUUGACGGCCGUCGCCCGAGAGCGAACGGCCGUCUGCCACGUCAUUUUCGCCGCCCUCUGGGAGGGCGGUAGGCGACUAUUUCCGUCAAUUUUCAAAAUGGAAAAUUAUUUUUGUAAAACUUUUAAUAAAAAAAAUUAUAAAUAAAAAAAAUUCGGCAAGAGAGUAUGGACCAUUGGACCAAUGUUCCUCUGCAAUACUGAUAGAAGCACAAUAGCAGACAGGGGCGCUAAAAGGCAUCAGUUAAUCAAAAGCACUGUAUGGAAUGGAUCGAUUCGAUGCAGAAUGGAUCGGUUCUUUACGUUAGUUUUGGAAGCAUGGCGCGUACUGUAUUUUUGCAGCUUGAGGAGAUUGCACUGGGUUUGGAGGCUUCAAAGAGACCAUUUCUUUGGGUGAUCAAAUCUGACAAUAUGCCUUCUGAGACUGAUAAACUGUUUCUGCCUGAAGGGUUUGAGGAGAGAACAAGAGGCAGAGGUCUCAUAAUACAAGGUUGGGCACCGCAGGCUUUGAUCCUCUCCCAUCCAUCCGUGGGGGGUUUCGUGACGCACUGCGGGUGGAACUCGAAGAUAGAAGGGGUAUCAGCCGGGUUGCCGAUGAUCACAUGGCCACAUUGUGCAGAGCAAUUCCUGAAUGAGGAGCUGAUAAUGAAUGCUCUGAAAGUAGGGUUGGCUGUGGGUGUGCAGAGCAUAACAAACAGGACAAUGAAGGCUCAUGAGAUUUCUGUAGUGAAGAGGGAUCAGAUAGAGAGAGCUGUGGUAGAACUAAUGGGAGAUGAGACAGGUGCAGAGGAGAGAAGAGCAAGAGCUAAGGAACUGAAGGAGAAGGCUAGAAAGGCUAUAGAUGAAGGAUCAUCUUACAACAAUGUAAGGCAGCUGAUUGAAUACAUCUCGAGCAGGGGAACAAGAACAGAUGUUCAGUGAUGUGUUCUUUUAUAUCACCUUUUCUUAUGGGUAAUAUCAGUAUUUUGAUAAGAAUAAAUGGUUCACGUCCAAAUCAGUUGCUUUCUUGUAUGAUGACAUAUCGUUUAUUUGCAAAGUUCAACAUACCAACCUUACGAUUGAAUAUUACUGUCCUUUCUCUAUUAUGCUCCGAUUUGCAUUGAGGUGGAAUAUGACACUCAUUUUGUGCAACUGAUCAACUACUUGAUAAAUUUUAAAGAUAUAACUUGGGUGCAAACUGAGUUAUUAUUGCAUUAAAAUGGAACAGUUAUGAGAGAAACAACAAUAGGAUAACAGAAUUUCUUAACCUUAAUUUGAUUUAUAACUACAAUAGCUCUGCAGUAGCUCAAAAAAGGGCACAAUUUAGCAUAUUAACCAUAAACUGACCCUUAUUCUCUUCUUAUUUCUAAUGCCCACAUACUGUAAGCACAAACAAUGUUCACCAGAAGUGAUUCGAAAAAUCCAGCUGCAUUAUCCAGCGAUUUUGCAUUCUACUUCCCUAAUAAGGACUUGAGUGAUAAAUUGUAAUCAGUUGCAACAUAUCAGUAAAAAUGAAGGAAUUCAGUACUUGUUACUUGUUCUACUGAAGCAAACAAGUAGUCGAUAUGAAACAUUUCAGACAAACUAUAGUAACGAACACAAUGCCACAACAUUUUAGAGACUGACAACAAAAAUGGACUGCUUCAGAUUGUUCUCAAGAACUUCAGGAGAUGCAUUCUAAGACCAUUAUCAAAAGAGAAAGUAGGGAAAAUAGUAGGAAGAAAAGGAACCUGGAAAGGUAACCAAGGUUGAGGAUCAAAUAGAUUAAAGCUAAAAUCUGUCAAAAUGUAAUUUACCUGGUUUAUCUAAGCAGCAGAUCACACAAUUGUUAACAGCUUUUGCAUAUCCUUGAGAACACAACACACUGAGCACUUGGCAGUUGGCACCAGUUUACUAGAUAAGGCAUAUUUACUGCUAAAAAGGUUCAUUCAUCGCAAACUGGAGCACAUUAGAUUAUCAGAUAAUCAUGGGUUUUUCAUUAUGGUCCAGCAUGAUUCCUGUACAGCAUAGUAAAAAAAAAAAUAGUACUACCUAGUAGCUAUACAGCAAUACAAAUUAUCAAAAACUUGUUGGUUUUACCACGGAUAAUUGGUCAUUGGUUACUCAAGCAAUCUUUAUAGACUAAUGUACAACAAAAUAAUUAUUCCAUUAUCUCAUAAAAAAACAAAAAAAAUAUAUUCACAUGUAUGCUAACCUGAUAACAAUAUUGCCUCUCGUUCUGCACUGACGAAUACGGAGGUUAGCAAGUUUUCCAUUUUAUUUAAGAAACAGCAUUUCUUCAUCCUUCUCCAUGAUCUUGAGAAAUUGUAUUUAUACGCAUGAGGUAUAUACAUUGCAGACCGUAGUUGAAAUGCAGUUAUCUUCCAGACUUUUACAGGUCUCAGUCGCACACUACGCUUCAUUGGACUAAGAAAGAGAUCUAUCCAGCUACAAGUCCAAGAAUAUAAAACCAUUGCACAAAAUGGAUCUUCCUUUGGGCUUUGCUCAUGUAUGGCUGUACCCAUUAUUGCUUGUCUAAGCAGCAGAGACAAGCAUGUACAACCUUUGCACCCACACUACUGGUCAAAACUGAUGCACCCCACCUUAUCCUCACAAUCCAGUUUAAGAAGUCACUCUUCACAAUUCACUUAUCUCUGUACUACGACGAACAAAUCGAACCCCCAACAAGCACAUGCCUGAGUCCUGAAGCUAAUGCAGUCUUCCAACAAAUCACUGUCAGUCUUCCGUUAUCAACCAGACCACGGACAUAAAGCCAUGAGAACACCGACCGAAUUUCUCACACAAUCUGCAAUCUGUGAAUCCUAGAUCACCACCUUAUGUAACAUUCCACGCAUCACCUGGCAUUUAGUCAAAUCAAAAUCAAUGGAUUAACCCAGGAUCCAGAGAGAUUACCCAUGCCAUCGCAGAGACAACCUUCCUGCCUAUGAAAUCAGGUUGCACAUGCCCCUCUGUUAAGGAUGCCAGAUUUGCGAUCGGCCUAUGUGUGUCCACCACGGUGAAGUUGUCUGCCUGACCCACCACCCACGUUGAGACCAGCCUGCUGCCUGCCUGAAUGUGGUGUUAACUUUCAUCCAAAUCCACGGAUCACUCGGCUAAUUUGCGGGAAUGCAGCCAGUGUACCGAAUUACCAAUCAGCUCAGCACGACGGCCAUGUCUCUCCCAUCCAGGACACCGUGCUCAGCGCUGCAAGAACGAUUGGCCAGAUUCUGUCAUGCAGUCAUGGCGUCCUCGGCACGGCGGGCACGACGGCGGCCGGGGAGGAGAUCUCAGCAAGGACGACGCGGCAGCGCCGGCGCCAGCUCUCACGCCGCAUCCGCACACCCACACACCGUCGCGGUGGACCCCCCCGGUCCGGUGGGGAAUUCCGUCGAACAGGUCGCGGGCACACGCACGGCGACCGCACCAUCCUCCUCCUCCACCGCCGUUGUGAUCCAAGAAAGAAAGACAAUGAUUGACCGUCAGCUCCGGAUCGCCAACAACAGCUGCAGCUGCAGCUCCAGCAGCAGAAAUGGUGGUGGUGCAGGUGCAGCCCUGAACAGUGAAGCAAGCAAUCACCAUUCACAAGACAACAACAGCAACUCAGCAAGGGGGAAGGAAAGGACCACCGUUCCAUUGUAGCUACAUGGGGGAUGCUGGGCUGCAGCCUUUUGAGCUAGCAUGCAAGGGACCUUACCUUACCUGCUUUUGGCCAUGGUGGUCAGUUGUAGCUAGGGCUAGGCUAGGCCAAACUGCUGCUGCUGCUGACCUCUAAAAGCCAUGGCCAUGGACAUGGACAACAGAGUUAACAGUCUUAUUAGUACUCUCUUCGUUUUCUAAUAGGGGUGUGUUUAGUUAACGCUAAAAUUGAAAGUUUGGUUGAAAUCGAAAUGAUAUGAUGCAAAAGUUGGAAGUUUGUGUGUAGGAAAGCUUUGAUGUGAUAAAAAAGUUAGAAGUUUGAAGAAAUAGUUUGGAACUAAACUUGGUCUAUAUAUGACGCCGUUAACUUUUAAUAUACAUUUAACUAUACGUUUUAUUUAAGAAGUAAAAGUUUAUGUAAGUGUAUAAGAUAUAAACAAUACUUUAAAUUAUUUUAAUGAUAAAACAACUUACAACAAAAUAAAUGAUAAUUACGUUUUUUAAUAAGACGAAUGGUAAAAUGUGUGUCCAAAAAUCAACGAUGGCAUCUACUCCCUCCGUCUCUAAAUAUAAGAGAUUUUAGGUGGAUGGGGCGUAUCCAAACUACGAACCUAGACAUGCUCUUGUCUAGAUUUGUAGUACUAGACUACGUUAUAUCAAACCAAAAUCCCUUAUAUUUAGAGACGGAAGGAGUAUUAAAAAACGGAGAUAGUAUCGCAAACGGGCAGCAUGCAGCAAAGGUCAAGGUGACCAAGAUAUCAGAUCUCCCAUGGAUUAAUUGAUUUCCAUGCUUGCGCUCGUAUUCUAUCAUUGUCCCUUGAUGGCAGUGACUGACAUAUAGGCUAGGGUUUGACAAUACGUCGGUUACUGCAGUAACUAGGUUUAUUACCGUCAGGGUGAAAAAUGGUAACAUCACGAUUGUCCCAUCAAAUUUAAACAAAAUUCAAAAGUAUCCUGAAUUUUGAUGGAUUUUAUCUGUUUUUUCAUGGUUUGCCAUGGUAACCACAUUUAUCGCUAGGGUGUAGUAACCUAGACCAAGAUAAUAAUGUACUCCCUCCGUACUCGUAAAGGAAGUCAUUUAGAGUAAUGUUUAAGUCAAACAUUAGGAAUAUAAAUUAUGAAUAACUCUCAAGUUGUUGAGUUUGAAAAUAUAAAAAUUAUAUAAAUAGAUUUAUCUUUAAAAAAAAUACUUUCAUAAAAGUAUAUAUAUAUAUAUAUAUAUAUAUUACUUUUUAAUAAAUAUUUUUAUAGAAACAAGAAGUUAAACUUGUGUUUUAGAGACCGUGUUACUGUCCAAAAGGAAGGAAUUUUACAUGUGCUUGUAGAAGGGAAAGUUAUGCUUUUGCCGUGAGGUUGGAUGGCACGAAUAAAACGAUUUAAUUAGCUUCCGUGGGAGUUGAGAAAGCAAUCCAGUGAUUUACAUGAAGUUAAAUUUAUAUGCCAGAAUAAUAGUUAUUGUGGGACUACCACGUGGCAAACAAACAUGUAUUUGAUCGGGCCAUCUCGGUGAGAUGGCUUAGGCUGUGUUUGGCACAUGUAUUCCCAACCCCUCUCCCUCGUUUUCCGCUCGUACGCUUUUCAAACUACUAAACGAUAGGUUUCUCUUAAAAAAAUUCUAUAAAAAAGUUGCUUAAAAAUCAUAUUAAUCCGUUUUCAAGUUAAUUUUAGUUAAUACUUAAUUAAUUAUGCGAUAGCUGUUUCAUUUUUCAUGCCGGAGGGAUAGACUCCCAACCGGCACAAACGAACGAUGCCAAAUUAGUUUUAUUAAAUAUAAAAUUAAAUAUAUUUUGAUAUAAUAUUUGUUUUGUAUUGGAAAUCUUACUGUAUUUUUCUAUAAACUUAAUUAAACUUUAAUAAGUUUGACUAAGAAAAGUCAAACGACUUAUAAUAUAAAACGUAGGGAGUAUCCCCUACUUACAGUGAACGAGUUGUAGUAUACAUUUGACGUAGAAUAUGAAUUGUACUUUUAGUACUAAAAAUAAUAUUGGUGCUUCUUCUACAAUAGGGUUUCAUGUAAAUUAGGUACAGUGAAUGUGUACCAUGGGGGAAAGAGAUUCGCUACUAUUUGGGCGUACCUCACCAUGAGGACGGCCAACAACACAACCAUAUGCAAUCAUGCAACAUGGAGUACUCCCUAAGUCUCCAACACACACUAGUGCACGGCGAGAAAGCCAAAAUAAUGCAUCUUUGUUCCGGUAAAACCACUAGUUACGUACAUAACCAAGCACAACUUUGUUCCUGUUCAGAUUGAUGAUAUUUUCAACCAUAUUAUUAUUUGAUAAAAUUAAUAAUUAUAUGUCUACGUUUACUUUGUUAUCAAAUAUUGGUAAUGUGUAUAUAAUUUUGAUAAUAUUAUUAAGCCAAUCCUAUCAAAAUUUUAGCAAUAUUAUCAACUUAGGUUUAUUUUGGCAUCAAUCUGAACAACUCCAAAUUAAGAGUCGUUAGUUGAGAUCCGGAUAAAACCAAUAGUUACGUACUUAACUAAGCACCACUUUAUUUUUGUUUAUCAAAAUAUUGGAUAGACCUAAGGACAGACCCAGGCCUCGGACCAGAAUGAAAAGUCCACUAUGAAAUAUAGAUUUUUACCAUAUAAAUUAUAGCUUGGCCUAAAGUCCAAUGAGUCAACCCGUCCUUGGAUAGACCAGUCGUCAGUCGAGACUGGGGAAGGUAGGAGGCUAGAAAAUAAUUUAUUUUGAAAUAAAGUUUGAACACUAAAAAUGAAUGAGUCUGUUCAGCUGCUCUACACAACCGUUGCCAUGCCGCAGUCACUGAUAGAAAAUAUUGUAUGUGUUAGCUGCACUACAGUAAAUAUCAGUGCAGCCGAACAGAGCUAAUUUAUUUUAGAACGAAGAAAAUAAGCAUAAUUGUUAUAAGGUUUAUUUAAAACACUAGAAUUUAACGAAAUAUUCAUACCAAGGGGGCUGCAGCAUGUACAUAUAUGAGCAAAACUGGCGAAAGGGUCUGUACCCUAGUGGUUACAAGAGCCUCCGUGGUACCUUAGGUCCUGGGUUCGACUCCCCAUUGGAGCGAAUUUUCUAGAAUUUAACGGCUUUAUGCUUUUAAUGGUAGGCGACGUACCCGUCGACAGCGAGGCGCCUAUGGUGACUUCGUCAAUCUUAAGUAUUUCCUUGGCCCAGUCUUUGAAGAUGCUUAUAAGGGUAAGGUUUGCGUGCGUGUGUUUAUAGGGGUGAGUAUGUGUGCGUUGUGAGUGCCUGCGUUGUACUGUGUAAUUAAAAAAAAAGAAAACAUAUGAGCAAAACUGCAGCCACAGCAUCUGCCGUAAAAGGUAAGGAAGCAGGGGAGCCAAGAAAGAGCCAAAUGUUGGCUGGGAUUGGCGACCAGAUUUACCGAAAAGGUUGCUCCACUUUUCGGUCCCUCUCCUUCACCGUGCCUGUCACCAUCUUUUUGGCAACGCACAUAGGAACAAACUGGCCCAGCUAGAGGCAUGCACACACAUCUACCUGCCAUACGGGCCCACACAUACGUAUACAUUGUACUGCUACAUAAUAUACAUUUAUGUACAACAUUACGAAGUAAAGUGCGAAUAUUUCUUAUUUGUCUACUAUGUCAAGAUCACGCGAUCCUUGUGUAAAUGUCCAUGAUAAUAAAUGGAGAAUAGAGGACAAAUAAGAGAAUUGAUUGCCUUUUAAGGUCGUUCAAUUAACGCAUCAGAAUCUAAACUGUAGUAGUUUUGGUCUAAGUUGUGCUCAAGUGACCAGUACUGGAGGAGCCACCUCUCGGGCAGGUCGGGUGACCUCCGCUAUCUCCACUGUCAAUAGCCGUCGACACUUAUAAAAAUUAAUCGAUCAUUAGAAAAUACUAUUAGUCACCCAGCUGGCUUGACGACGUUGCUAGCUCCACCACUGUAAGUGACAGUCCCAGUUUAGAAAAUAAAAACCUAAGACCCCAAAUGGAAUUGAAGUACUCCUUGAUUGCUUCUCCUGCUCGCUCUUCUUUCUUCCUUUUCUUAUCUCUCCCAAACUCAAAACAAGUUUAUACCUCUCUCACGGGUUAUAGCUAGCAUGCCCUCUUAAACUGCUGCCCUCCUCUUUGAGCAUAUGCUCGUCAUCUCCUCACGCUCAAACCACUUAUUCCCUCCGUUUCAAAAUGUUUGACACCGUUGACUUUUUAGCACAUGUUUGACCAUUCGUCUUAUUCAAAAACUUUUGUGAAAUAUGUAAAAUUAUAUGCCUACAUAAAAAUAUAUUUAAUAAUGAAUCAAAUGAUAGAAAAAGAAUUAAUAAUUACUUAAAUUUUUUGAAUAAGACGAACGGUCAAACAUGUUUAAAAAAAUCAAUGGCGUUAAAUAUUUCGAAACGGAGGGAGUACAAGGCUACCCGCUUAUCAUAGAGAGGCAAUAGUCCGAGCACAAGGGAUGCAAGGAUCCAAGCGCACGAGCAAUUAGGCGGAAGAAUGGAGAAAAGGCAGUGCGUAGUGAGACGGGAGAAAAUUGAACCCUAAAAACCGGUUUAGAGAGAGAGAGGAGGAGAUUUUUCUUUUUUUUCCCUUUUGAUACACUUAUAAAAUGGUAAUGUAAAUAGACUUAUUCCAUGAUUAAUAAAACGCCACAUAUUUCAUGACUAAUCCGAGUAAUAGAGUAACCGAUAUUAACACCAAAGAGGCGGCGGUUGCGUGAUUUUUUUUUGACGGGUUGCAUGAAUUGGUAGCAAGCUAGAGGACAAGUUGCAACUUUAACCGCGGUAACAAAAGGUCAAGGUGUUCAUCAUGCAUGUACCGCAACACGGGAACAGGGCCAGCGACGACUUUUGUGUGAGUUUUUGUGGUGACCAUCCAUGCAUGCAUGAUCAGUGCAUAGCUUGCUGUUUACACCCGUACAUUGUCUGGGUUUAGCUGUCCCUCAAUGAAAACGGUGGUAAAAAUUCCCGACCAACUAAUCAUCAUUACUGUAAAAAUGAAAAUGUACUGUUUUUUGAUAUUUAAUAUGUUAUACUCCCUCCGUUUCACAAUGUAAGUCAUUCUAACAUUUUCCAUAUUCGUAUUGAUGUUAAUGAAAUCAAUACGAAUGUGGAAAAUGCUAGAAUGACUUACAUUGUGAAACGGGGGAGUAAUAUUUAUCAGUGUCGUAGUGAUGUCACUAUUUAAUAGUUGUAUAAUAAAUACUCCAUCCGUCCCAUAAAUAUAAGGGAUUUUGAGUUUUUGCUCGACGGAGGAAGUAUGUGAAAAUUCUCAUACCGAUCACGUAGACAUGAUACCAUUCUCGACCGUUUUCAUCUCGUAGUUGCUUGAUUGAUCUUCGAACUUUAAACUUAGGCUGUGUUUAGUUUACACUGAAAUUUAGAAGUUUGGUUGAAAUUGGUACGAUGUGAUAGAAAGUUGUGUGUAUGAAAGAUUCGAUGUGAUGGAAAGUUGAAAGUUUGGAAAAAAAACUUUGGAACUAAAUAGGGCCUGUGUGGAGUUAAGUAUAUUUAAGGUUAGGGGCAGUAGAAUUUUAACCCUACUGAUCACACGUGUGGUUCUUUUUUCUAACAUUACUUAAAAAGCACAUACUUAUCUAUUACCUGAACUUUAUUCUAAAAUAAAGAAUAUAGCCUUUUUUUUAGUGAUUGUGUUAGUCAAAUGCUCAACUUUUGCAAAACAAAAAAUAAAAUUAGAAAAAAACUCAAUCCUGCUACGCCCCUGUCUCUGCGAGACUGGUGACACUGUCCACUCUGUUGCCUACCGUUGCUCCACACGCCCACCUCUACAAGAAGCUUCAUCACCACCUCAAACACACAAACCUCUCCUCACUCUCACUCGCCCAUGAAGCCGUCGUCGCCGUCGCCGUCGCCGCCGCACGGCGCCGCCGCCGUGAAGCAGCCGGCCUCCUCGCCGGACGCGCGGCUGACGCCUUCCUCGGUUGUCGCCGCCGCCGCUGUUGGCAUAGGUGUGACGCCCCCGCGGCGCAGCUGCGACGACGCGGCGUCGUGCGUCGUCAACGACGUCGACGCGUUCGCGCGCACCAUUGCCAGCAUCAGGUCGAAGCCGGCCUCGGCGGCGGCGGCGGCGGCCUCGUCUUCGUCGGAUGGCGGCGGCGACCACCUCGCCACCGUGCUGGCGCACUACGCGGCCAGGUGGCUCCCCGACGUCGCGUCGUCGCCGUCGGGGAGGUUCCUGCUGCCGCCGCAGAGCCCCACGGCGACGUGGAUCAGGAAGCGCCUCCUGCUCGAGUCCCUCGUCGCCGCGCUCCCGCCCGACGGCGGCGACGGGGACGACGGCGGCGGCGGCGUCACGUGCGACUUCCUGCUCCGCCUCCUCCGCGCCGGGAGCAUGGCCGGGGCCGACGCCGCGCUCCUCGCCGACCUCGAGGCGCGCGCGGCGCGGCGGCUGGACCAGGCCUCGCUCGGCGCCGUCAUGAUCCCGGCGUUCCGCGCCGCCGCCGGUGACGCGCCCGGCGCGGGCGCGACGCUGCUCGACGUGCCGCUCGUGCUCCGCCUCGUGCGCGGCUUCCUCCGCGAGGGCGGCAAGGCGGGCGCCGGCGGCGGCGGCGGCGCGGCGGCCGCCUGCAGGGUGGCGAGGCUGGUGGACGCGUACCUCGCCGAGGCGGCGCUGGAGGCCGGGCUGCGGCCGGCGGAGUUCGAGGAGCUCGCGCGCGCCGUGCCGGCGCACGCCCGCGCCGCCGACGACGGGCUGUACCGCGCCGUCGACACCUACCUCAAGGUGAGUGUGCAUCGAUCGCGCGCCAUGGACACAAUCAUUUACAAUUAUGUCACAAUCUCUCUUUGCCUGGUGAUGAUUAUGUUUUCACGAUGAUUUGAUUAGUUAAAUACUCCCUCCGUAUCAGUUUGUAACAGGAUGUAAGACGUUUUAAGUUUAGCUAAAGUCAACUGCUUUAAGUUUGAUUAAAUUUGUAGAAAAAAGUAGUAACAUUUUUAACCUAAGACAAAUUUAUUAUAAAAAUAUAUUCAAUUAUUUAUUUGAUAAACUAAUGUAGUAUUAUAAAUAUUACUAUAUUUGUCUAUAUUUAUCUAAAAAUUUAGUUAAACUUAAAACUGUUUGACUUUGACUAAAAUUAAAAACGUCUUACAACCUGGAACAAGUGAGCAGUAUUUACAAAUAAUAAUCUUCUGUACAUCGUGGCAGUAUGUUCUGGUAGGAAGAAAUAGGGUCUCGAUCUGGCCGUUAAAGAUCGGUUAAGAAUGCAUCGAUGGCUUUAAUUAUCUUGGAACAUGAUGUCAUGAUGCAUCCAUUUAAUUAACAUGUUAUAUGAUUAGGGUGUUAUCAAUAUCGUAGCAUGUUGGUUUUCUUAAAAAAAAUGGAACACAAAAUCACUAUGCUACAUUUUGUAGGAAAUGCUAGCUUAGCUAAAUUUUUCGUCACAAAUAACAGUGUGAGUGUGUGACGCUAAAUAUUUGAGAAAAAAACACAUUAUAAGUUAAUUACAUAGGACUAGGAGCAAUGUUGCCAACUCUGAUCGUUUGAACUAUGAUUGAUAAGAUGAGGAAAAAAAAUAAAGCAACUAAAACUAAUUACUGGGUAAUUAUUUUUAUAUUAGUGCUAGUAGUGGUUUAAAGUCAAUGAAAAUAUAUUACGAUGAAAAAUUAAAAAAAUAUCUCCAACGUAUUUUUUUUAAAAAAAACCUAAAUUAUAUGAUAAGCUAUAUCAAGUAUUUUAUUUGUCCCAAAAUAUAAUAAUAUAUAAAGUUCAAAAUUAUUCCAAAUAUAACAAUUACCACUUGUAAAAGAUAUUUUUUUAUUACUCCUAAACUACUCAUCCUAUCCCUUAUCUAGUACAGACCUAUCGUAAGAAGAUAAAUAAAUCUUUCUACCCCUCUUAUUUGUAGCCGUGUAAAAAAUUAAAACUUAUUAUAUUUUAACAGAGAGCAAGCUAUAGUAUAUAAAGCAAAUGAAUGAAAAUAAUACAGUACAUGUGGAGAAAAAAAAUUGGGACUGUGGCCCUGUUUAGAUCCCAACUCAAAAUUAAAUUUUUCACCCUAUCACCUCGAACAUUUUAACAUCUAUAUGAAGUAUUAAAUAUAGACUAAAAACAACUAAUUGCACAUAUUGCGACUAAUUUGCGAGACGAAUAUUUUAAACCUAAUUGUUUUAUGAUUUAACAAUAUGGUGCUACAUUAAACAUUUGCUAAUGACAGAUUAAUUAGACUUAAUAAAUUCAUCGCGGUUUACUAACGGAUUCUGUAAUUAGUUUUUUUAUUAGUGUCUAAAUACUCUAUACGACACUCUAUAUAGUAUCUUAAUUGACACGUCAAAACUUUACACCCCUACAUCUUAAACAUCCCUUUAUCUCCAAGAUUCCCAUUUGCAAACCAGGGUGAGCAUGCCAACUUAAGAUAUGAGAUGUGGUGAUUAACCCCUUUUCACCUUGGCAUUGGCUGUCCAUGAUGUGAUAGGCCAAAAAAGAUUUUCCAUGCACGUAUUUCCAUGCAUGGUGCUGGAGGCGAUGUGACUGUGUUGGAAGCAUAUGCGACGGUCGAGGUAAAAAAAAAAGAAUAACCAUGGAAGUAAGAGAGGCCAGUUUCAGGCUCGGUAUGUGUUUCUGCGUGUUUGACCGCACGGUAGUUCAUGUUGGACCAUUCCUAAUCAUCAUUUUGCUCAGGAGUCAGGAGUGUGUUUUUGGUUUUUGUGAUUAAGCUCAAUUACUUUGCGUUGAUACGACGAUUAUUGUUUAAGCCAAUGUUUAAAAUUUGAAAUUAAAUCAGACGUUUCUUUUCCUUUUGUUCACUCGAGUUUGACUCAAGGCCACUUAAGAAUAGAGGUAUAAUUGUAUCCAUUCGAUUCAACUACAUAUAAUUGUGUUUGGGUUUCAUCAUUUGUUUAUUGGUUUUUCGAUCAUAACUAAAAUUUUGAAUUGUAAAACUUAAUUUUAGAGUUGUUUUUGAAGGUUUUAUUUUUUUUAUCGUAGUCUAUUUUCUAAUCUUGUAUUUUAAACCGCUAACAACUCGAAUAUAAAUUUAUCUAUUUCGUGCAUUCGUUUCGGUUUAUCGGUCAUAGCUCAACCGAUCAUGAUCAUCUUAUAGGCCGCAAAGAAAAAAAAGCUUUCUAAACUGACCACUGUUUUUUUUUAAAUAAAUGAGAAUAAAAAUUGUUCCUAUUUGAACAAAACUAUUUCCACUCCCUUUUAUUUUUCUCCCCCUGUGCAUGGAUCCUUCUUUGCUAGUGCUUCACUGCCACUUAUGUCAUUGCUUGAAUAGAAGAGACCAAUGAGAGUAUCAUUCAGCAUCCCAACUCCACACCAACCAAUUUGUAUCGAUCACCAGCAACACACGGUCCAGUCCCAUCGGAGGGCAAAAGUCACUUUGUUUUUUGUCCUAGCAAUUGCCAUGUUUUGGUACACUCUCACCAGCUAAAAUCACACAUGCAGUGCAGUGCAGUGCAGUGUGAUGCUGUUCUGAAGAAAACGGCAGAACACAGAUGUGCUCACGUGAGCUACCUAGCAUCGCUGCUUCAGCUCGAUCAAUCCAAUCCAACUGCUGCAAGUGCUAUGCAACAAGAGAGUUGUUACCCUGCUUGUUGGUUUCAUUCUUGUAGCCUCUCACUUUUUUUUAAAAAAAGAAAACCAAUUUUUGAUAUCGUCAUUUUUAAUAUGUUAGCAUAGAUUUCAUAUGUGCUUAUUAAUUGCUUAUAAAGAUUGGUGUAUGUUUUUGUAGGGAUGGAUGUGUGUGCGUAUAUAUAAGGGUUUGCGUUUGUAAUGUGUUUAAUAGAGAGGGAGAGAGAGCGUGCAUGUUUAAAAUAAUGUGAUAAUCAAAUUUAAUCUAAGUAUCUACUUUAAAAGAGCACAAAAUGUUUUUAAGUGUUAAUGUUAGUGUGAAUUUUCAUGGAUAAUUAAUUGGCAUGUAGAAAUUUAACCUUUGAUGAAAAGAAAACGUAAGUGCUCCUCUGUAAUAUAUAGUAUCUAUUUUACAAGAUUUUGGUUACGAUUUGGUUCAAUUCCUCCAAAAUCCCUUUGAAAUUUCUCCAUUUCAAAAAAAAAGAGAAAAAACUAAGUGGUUGAUUAAUUUGCUGUGUGCAGGCGCACCCGCACGCAGGGAAGGAGGAGAGGCGAUCGCUGUGCCGGCUGAUCGACGCGCGCAAGCUCACGGCGGAGGCGGCGGCGCACGCCGUCCAGAACGAGCGCCUCCCCGUGCGCUGCGUCGUCCAGGUCCUCUUCUCCGAGCACGGCAGCAAGCUCACCCGCCUCGCCGAGUGGACCACCGGCUCCUUCCGCUCCCUCCAGUCCCGCAGCCCCGCCGACCUCAUCGUCACCGGCGGCGGCGCCAAUGGCGGCGCGCGGUGCCCCUCCAAGCGCGAGGUCGCCGCGCAGCACCACGAGCUCCGCCGCCUCCGCGAGGACGUGUCCCGCCUCCAGGUGCAGUGCCACGCGCUGCAGGCGCAGGUGGACAGGCUCAGCUCGGAGCGCCGCCGCCGGCCGGGGGGCCUGUUCAAGCUGCUGUUCGGCGGCGGCGGUGGCGCUGGCGCCACCGGGGCCGUCGUCGUGGACGACUCCGACAGCGGGUUGGACAGGACGCCGCUGAGCGGGAAGAAGGGCGUCGUCGUCCGCGCGACCGCCGCGGCGGCGGCGGCGUCGACGCCGGCGUCGGGCACGCCGGCCGUGGCGAGGUGGCGCAGGUCGCACUCGUGAGAGCGCGGCGUCGCGCGCCAUGUGUGUCGGUAGAGCUGUAACGACCAAGAUCAUCAUCCAAAGACAAGUGUGGUCUUAAUUCUCUGUGUUCGUGAAUUCUUCUUCGUUUCAUGUGCCUUCGAUUGUGAAUUUGUGAUCGAUUCGCUGCUUCUUGGCGCUUGAGGUGAUGAAAUUGAAAUGAACUUGGUUUUCUUUUCUUUCUUUUUUUUUUUGAGAAUUAUACAGUACAACGUAGACACUCACAACGCACGCGCACUCAUCCCUAUGAAUGCACGCACGUAAACCCUAUCCAAUGAGCAUCUUCGAAGACUGGGCUAGCAAAUCCUUGAGAUUAACGAAGUCACCGUAGGCGUCUCGCUGUUGGGUACGUCGUCUUCCACUGAAAGCACAACGCCAUUAAAUCUCUUGUAACCAUUAGGCUAUAGGCCCUUUCGCGAAAUGAACUUGGUUUUUUGUUUGUUUGAGGCAUUCGAUAUAUGUGAUAUAUCCUAUGAGUAUGGAGGCUUCAGCGACCGACGUAAAUGGAUUCUAAAUCUCUUAAAAGUAUAUCCACUCCUGUAUUUUUUUCCCUAAAUUCAAUGUAAAUAGUUAUAUAUAUAUUUUUUGAAAAAAUUGACGAUGUAAAGCAUAGUGACAUCUAACACUCUACACCAAAAGUUAAAUUCAAAUUCGAUCAACACAUUAAAUAAAAAGACAAAUUCUUAUAUGAAUAGUAACAAUACUAUUAAUAUCGGAUCACGACUGAUGAAGUUUGCCUUGGACUUCUGCUAGCGCCUCCGUCAGGGAUAAAGUCAGUUUACAAUUGAGCAGGGUUCAAAAUUCCAGACCGCAAAGACCCCCAUACAAAAUUAUUUCGCUCAAUUUUCUUUUUUGGAAUUUUCCCAAUUUUGAAUAUAGCAAAAUUAUUCAAAUUUGACCAAAUUUUGUUCAGAAAAAUCAAAUUAUUUCGGAUCAAGAUUUCUGCAAUUUCUGAAAUUUCGGUCCGUUCAGUAGAUAGCGAAAAUUGAAAUUUUGAACCUUGCAACUAAGUGCAUUUAUACUCAUCUCUUGCAUAUCGUCCAAAUGGACAUAUAUCUUUUUUAAGAAAAAAAAUUAAUAGCAUAGAAUACAAUGUUACAUAUAACUUUAAGUUACUAUAUUAGAAAACGGAGUGGGGACUUGGAAGAAGAGUAGGAGGGCAUGGUGAGGAGGAACUCAACCUUAGGCCUUAAGUUGUUUAAAAUGCGAUGCGCUGGCAUUCAGCCCGAGCGCUUCACGUCGGUGGUGUGGGGAGAAUCGUUGCCACGAGUGUGUUUGGGCCCACUAGCCUGAAGACCGUGCAUCCAAAGAAGGGCACCUGUUUUUCGGCGUCACCGAGGGCGCGUGGCGCAAGUCACACAGCGCUAUGGAGCUCGUGGCCUCCUCGCCGGUGUUCGCCUCCAAUCCCAAAAUCGCCCUACCACUCGCGCGCACGACGGCUAGGUUUUUCCCUUCCCACUCUUGCCCUACUAUCUCCUGCACGCACGCCAACUCCAUUUUCCCCUUCAUGCGCUCGUCCUUCAUAUCGAUGGACAUUUUAUUUAGAACAUAUCAAAUAUAUUUGACCCAACAUCAAGGGAAGAAAGCCCAAAACAACACACACGGAUCAAUGGAGUUCAAUACCUUAAUCCUUGCAGCUGGGGAGGGGGUAGAGGGGCAGGUGUCAGUGGAGCCGCUGCCGCUGGUGGUGGAGCUGGAGGCGACGCAUCAAUUUGGAGAUGGGGAGCAGGGGAGUAAACCCUCCCUCUCAGAUGGAGCUUCAUGGUCGCGACACUGAGGGUGGAAGGUGAUGCAGCGAUGCGAAGAAAGGCGAUGAAGAGGCUCGAUGAUAAUAAAGAGAGAGUCGGAUGUCGGGGUAGUUGGGGAAUAUAUUUCCUUUUGCUAUUGGGUCACUUUACCUGGGACACAAGUACUGUAGGCUAAGUUUCUAUCAUAUGUCUUUGAUUUGUUUGGACUCUAUUGAAUUUCGUAUCACGGAUGUUGGUUCAUGCUUUAUGGCAUUUCAACGAGCAAACUAAUCCAAUCCCGCAAAGGAUUGUUCAUGGAACUACUAUCGAAAUUAUGCAGACCAUUUUCCUAGUGUCAUUCUUUUGUUCAUUGCUAUACCAUCAUUUGCUCUGUUAUACUCAAUGGACGGGGUAUUAGUAGAUCCAGCCAUUACUAUCAAAGCUAUUGGACAUCAAUGAUAUUAGAGUGCGCCUCUUAGCGAGGGUGAUUUAAGUGCAACGGAAUGUACCGGUGGUUCGCGAAGCAUAUGGCCUACCGGUCAACUCCCAUUCCCGUCGUCGAGAGACUUAAAAAAAACUAUAGCAUGCCAGAAACGGGGAGGAGUCCACAUGCAUUGUGGAGGCCGUUUCCCACAUCGUUCUUAGGCCUAGCUGGGGACCAGGGCUUCUCAAGUGUAGUAGCUGCACUGCUCUUGCCCUUAGAUAGAGGGCUUAUGAAAUACACUUCGGCCAAGGAAGAGUAGAAUGGAGUGUUGACACGCGUGCAUGAGUUGCUUGAAUCUAAUAUCAAUCUAAAUUAGCCAUCCAAAACUGACCAAAUCAUAGGAGAAAAAAUAUGCAGC